AUUAAAGCCUCUCCGGUAUCUGACACAAGUCAGAAUUUCCACUGUUCCAGCUGAGCUUUUAUGAGGAGCAGACUUGAGAGAAACUGCCAAGAUUUUCUGGAGUACACAGGGCACACGGCCAGCUGAACACCCGCUUCCCCCACUCGCUGCUGCUGGGAAGAGAGCAAUGGACUCCGAAUACCUUCCAGCCGAAAGUCGUCCUCCUCUUCCUCGCUGAGCGUGUCUCUCAACACGUCGCCCACGAGCUCCUACAAGAAGACAGAGCAGAGGCAUUGAGCAGGGGUUGGGGGAGCCCAGUGCUGGGACGUUAAAAGCAGUGCCAUGAGGACCCUGGGCUGAUUCUUCUGAUUGGAAUUCAGGUCAACUGAGGCAGAUCCUAUUGCACCUGAAAAGUUAAGUGCCAAGGUGGGUCCCUCCUGCCCUUAACAUAAACCCACACGCAUCAGCACAACAUUCAGGCCACCACAGGCUAUGGCUCCACUGGGUCUUCCAUCAUGCCUCCCACAUUUCACCAACACACAUGCCUUCCGGAAACCAGCCUGAUUCCUUGCACACACCCUGCCUGUUCCCCACCAGUGAGUUAAGGAUAUCUGGGAUCUCAUCCCAACCAACCUGACCAGGAGAUGUCAAGUUAGCGAGGGGAGUGUUGCUGGUCCACAGGCUGGGAAAUUUCUAGGAUGUCAACAAAGGCCCCAUCUGUCUGACCCACCCUAGCAGGAUAACUCCAAAUAUGGAAGAAGCUAGACCAUACCUUGUCAAACUGUCUUCUGUAUUUAUUGGUAUUCUGCCAGAAGAGUUCUAUGAUCAAAGAAGAUUCUUUUAAACAAAGUUAAACAAGAUCUCUUACAGCAGGACUUAUCAGGACUUUUCCUAUGGUUCUAAACACUGAAUCUCCAAGUGCUGGCAUAUUUUGCAUUCUCCAAACUUAUUUAGACCAUGGAGCUUCGUUUUUCAAAAGUAUCACAUGAUACGCGUGUCCCAAGAAACCCACUUUAGGAAAUACUCCUGUUAUGGGAGGACAGACAAGGGUUUGGGGGAUGAUGAUGCUAUGGUAGCGGUUCUCAAAACACAAAAUGACAAGCAAUAAAAAAGCCCAAACUCAGCAGCUGUCACCAACUUCUCUUUGUGAAAAUAAAAGAGAAAAAAAACAAAAACAAAAACAAAACCCAACCCUCUCCUUAGGGGAAAAAAAAUUCUACACCUCAGAUGAUGCUUAAAAAAAAACCAGUCCUCUUCUUGAUGAACAAAAGAAAAAACACGGCUUUGUAUUGCUGAUCUCAUCAACUGGACACAGCUGGAGGUAAGCCUCUUGCUUUUUUUUGUUUUUUGUUUUAAAGACAAACAGCUAACAUUUUGUGGCUGUUCUCUUUCUUCUUUCAAAUCUUUCUAGGGCAUUACACACUCUUUCUUAAAAGCUGUUAAAAUGUGGCCAUUCAGACUCCGGUGUCCCAUUUACUUCAAAACCAGGCUACUUUAUUCCUCGAGUCAGGAUGGCUUCCUCUCCUCCUCCACCAAUUAUUAUAAUCAUCGAACAUAUCCUGGGCUUGUAAACUGGCUGUUUGUGUUAACAGAGCCCGAGUUGACAGGGGAGCUGGGAGACGAUGACAGGAAAGGGAUGCACACAGGUGGCAUCAUUAGAUGGCUGGGACGCCCCAGCAGCCAAUUGAAGCCCAUCUUUCAUGCAGAAGAGAGACGGGUGCCACCGCCCCCUGAAAGGCUGGUAGGCAGAGCUUCCCCGAGGGAACAGGCAACAGUCUUCAAGAGAAUCUGCGCACCUCUUCAUGCUGAGGUCUUCUGCAGAGCGGGGCUCUGCGCCUGCCACCCUGACUGCACUGCAGCCGGGUGACAGCAUCAAUGAGACGUCUGAGUACUCGUGUCUUUUUACUGGCACACUUGGAAGAGUUUAAAGACUCCAGACAUCGCCACCAACAAGGCAGCCGUGUGGGACCCUAUGACAAUGACCGCAUGUGCUCAAGGCACCCCAGUCACCACCUAAUGACAGCUUCAGCACUCCCUGCUCGGAGAACCAAGCUCUCUGACACACUCAGAAAGCAGAGUUCUGGCAAGUUCUGGCAUAGGCCUCUCACCACUCAACAGUACCCUGCUCUGGAGAACACUGGAAAGCUCCCCGGAGCCAUGGUUCAUGGACGCACUGUACUGUGCCAAUGCUCAACUUUGCAAAAAUUCAUCUCCCCAGCCAGGCGCAGUGGCUCACGCCUGUAAUCCUAGCACUUCGGGAGGCCGAGGCAGGUGGAUCACGAGGUCAGGCAACCUGGCCAACAUAAUGAAACCCCAUCUCUGCUAAAAAUACAAAAAAUUAGCCAGGCGUAGUGGCAGGUGACUGUAAUCCCAACUACUUGGGGGGCUGAGGCAGAAGAAUCGCUUGAAACUGGGAGGUGGAGGCUGUGGUGAGCUGAGAUUGCGCCACUGCACUCCAGCCCAGGUGACAGUGUGAGACUCUGUCUCAAAAAAAAAAAAAAAAAUUCAUCUCCCCCACUGAGCCACACGGCCCAGGGUCUGUGGCGUGCAGCGUGCAUGUUCCUAGAGCUUUGAGUCUCUAGGCCAGAAGCCACGCGGGAUGUUGAGCCAAACACAGAAUCACAUGCUGGCUGUACCGCCUGCCUCGCCUUUGGACCUCAGCCUACUUAUUUGUAAAAUGGGCACAGUCAUCAACCAUAAUAAUAAUCAAACAGCUGACACUUACUGUGCAUUUUCCAUGUGUCAGGCACGAUGCUAGGCACUUUAUAGUCAUUCCUCAGUACCUGUGGGCGACUGGUUCCAAAACUCCCUGAGGCUAUCAAAAUCUGUAGAUGCUCAAGUCCCUUAUAUAAAUGGUGUAGUAUUUGCAUAUAAACUACAAACAUCCUGCCCUAUACUUUAAAUCACCUCUAGAUUACUUACAAUACCUAACACAGUGUAAAUGCUAUGGAGAUGGUUGUUAAACUGUAUUGCUUAGGGAAUAAGGACAAGAAAAGUCUGUAUGUGUUCAGUACGGAUGCUUUUUUGUUUCCAAAUAUUUUCUAUCUAUGGUUGGCUGAAUCAACAAAUACAUAGCCCAUGGAUAAGGAGGGCCAACUGUGUAAGCGUGUAUUUAUUAGCCCCCUGAAUCAUCACAACAGCCCUGGUCUUUCCAUCUUUCAAGAAAUAGAUGCUUAUUAAAAUGAUUUGCAAAUUGUAAAGCGAGAGGUAUAAUCAUUACUGUUAUUUUCUACAAAGAAAGUGGCCUCAACCCUGAAGUACUGUAUGAGACCAGAAACAGUUCUAAUGACAGUCACCCGUCAUCUACCAAGUGCUCACAGUGUACGAGGUGCUGACCAAUGGGAUCUUCACGGGAGACUCUGGAGAAUGGCCUCCCCACAGCCCUGCAUCUAAGUGGCUAGGAGGCUCCAAGAGGCUGUGAGACCCCCUUUGGAUCACCUGCCAGCAAGGGGCGGAGCGGGGACUUGAGCCAGCUCCUUCAGAUGCCUCAGCCCGGGCUCCUACUCAUGCAACCAGGGCUCCUGUGGGCAUGGGAGCAGAGGUGGUCAGGAGUCCUGGCACCUACCAGGGACCAAGGAUCACACCUAAAGGAGUGCAAGAAAAAUAGCCCAGCUGGCAGCUCUAGUGGGCUCGGGAACAUUCUCACAUUCCAUCCUAAUGCCUGGCGAGCCAGUGCCUCAAUGUCCACCCUGGGACGAUGCUCACAUGUGUGUCCAGGAGGCACAUUCGAAUCCAGUGAUGUUUAGGGCAAUGCACUUCCUGUUAACCUGCAGUCAGGAACACCCUGGAUGCCCUCAAAGGCAUGUGGGCUGGAUCUCUGCAGAGGAGUGCCACACGAGAGGGACGCCAACAGAACAAGACAGACCUGCAGAUCUCCCGGGCAGAGGGCCAGACCACAGGACAGGCAAAGGAGCCCUCACAGGAAGACACGCAGACUGUGCUGCUACCUGUACACAGAGGAGAGCACCAAACCCAUGUAUGCCAUGAGAUUGUCCCCGUGUGGGUGAACAUGCGGAAGACGACAGCCACGGUGACUUCCAGAGAGGGGAGGGCAGACAGAGGCAGAGGGUGUGGGGGGGGUCAUAAACCCCAGCCUUAUCAGAAGUGUUCUCAUGUUUAACUGAUGAGUAUAUUACUUGGGUAAUUAAAACCCAAUUUAGUAAAACUGCAGAUAAUAACCCACUUUACAAAAGAAAACAAAAGCUGGGAGAUUAAGUAACAAGUCCAAGGUUUCAUGGAAAGCAACAGAGUCAGGUAGCCCCCUCCAGGCCUCGGCCCCCUCGUCUCUAGAAUAGGGAGGCCAGACAAGAUGAUGCUCACAGUUCCCUGGAGCACAGACCUUCUGGGGUUCCAGCCCGCAUCCCAUCAAUGGGCAGAUCUCUUCUCUAGGGCUAUACCCAGGAAACAAGAGGAAGACCGGGGCUGUCCAUUUUCUGGGCCUCAAGUUCUAUGUCUCUCACAUAUACCUCUCCCCUGCGGACCUGUUAUCUCUGCCCACACAGCCUCCCUCUCAUUCCCAGGCCCCCAGGGCUUUCCUGGGCCUCCAGAGCCCACUCUGCCUACAAGCUCGGCAGGCUGAAAGUGCUAGGAAAUUACCCAGCCCAUCCCAACACUAUACAACAUGCAGGCCAGUGAUACAAAAAUAAUCCUCAUCAAAGGGCAGAGAGAUGGAAAGAGGGCAUGGCAGGCAGCCUUUUGAGAGGGCUCCUGGAGGCCUGGACCCAGGGAUGGGAGAGGCUGGGGGCAUCCUCCUCCCCAGGAGAGGAAAACAGACCCGCCCCUCCUUGCCUGGGUCAUCAGAACCCAGGCCUCAACAUGCUGCUUCCAAAGAUAAAUGGCAUCUCUUUCCAAAGGAGCCAAAAUAUAGGGCAGAGUCCUCAGCCACUCCCCUGAAGACCCCUGAGCCCACCACAGCCACAGGUCACCUGGUGGUGGCUCCUGGCUCUGCCCACCAGGCCUGUCCCCUGGAUGCAGCCAAGCCAAUUGGAACCCUCUCCUGGGACCCCUCCCUCGGGAGCUGACGGGGACGAGCUCUUCUCUGGUGCCAAGGCUGCAUCUCAUCUCAUCGGCAGCUUCUCAGAGACAGCUCACUCAAGGAGGCAGCUCACACAGAGACAGAGGCCAGUACUGGGACCAGCCUCAGGCCCAGCCUUCUCCAGAAGGAGGCUGCCUGUGGGCAGGACUCUGGGUCUGUUUUGCCCUCAAACAGCGCCUGGUACCACGCAGGCACUCGAAAAAGUGUCUGUUCGGUGAACCCUGGGGCAGGCCCACCCUAACCCGCCCUUCCUACCGAUGGGACGGUCACAGAAGCCACUAAACGGCCUUUGCUGCUUCCAGCAAUUCAGGUUGGGUUUCCGUUACUUGCAACUAAAAGCUCUGACUCCCACAGCUCCCAGAAGCAAUCCACAGCCUCCUCAAAGCUAAAUCCAGGAUUCCCAGGCAAGCUUGGGAGCCAGUGGAGCGAGCUCCUGCUGCCCUGCUGUAUCGCGGGCCCCUGCAGGAGCUUCACCCGCAGACUCCACUCAGAGCUGCGGAGGCUGAGGCGAGAGGGAAGACAGGCUCCUGGGGCUGCACACACAGACCAGGCCUUUUGUAUUUGGCCUGCAAGGACCAGGCCUUCAAGACGCCAAAGACAUUGAGCAGCAAUUAAAAUUCCUCAGAUUUCUCCUGGACUAUUUUUAUCUGCCCAAGAUGCAAUCGACAUGCUCCUAACUGUAGAUCCCCGGCCUUCAGCUCCCCACAUCCUGGGGACCCCAGCCUGAGCCUGCUUCCUGGGCUUGAGAGUUUGCACAGGGAAGGUGGACAGCCAGCAAGGAGUGGGACGGCAGGGCUGGCAGGAAGGACUUCAGACCCUGGGCCUGACUCUGAAACCACCAUACUCCCUUCCUCCAGCCCUCAGGCCUGAGACCCGACAGGGUACUCAUAAUCCCUAGAGACGGGUUGCCCAAUCCUGAACCUCAGCCAGCCUCAGUCACCAAAGGGCCAGCAAAGGCCACUUCCUGGGCUGUCACACCAGCAAGUCGCAGGCAUCCACAUGCCAUGGUCGCGCCUUCCUCCAGAGCCAUGUCUCUGGGCUACCAUGAGUACUUAAAUGCUUCUCUUUAAAUUGGCUCUCUCUCUCUUUUUAACCUAGUCUUGCCAUAAAGCAAUAAGAUCAAUAAAAUCACAGGUGUUGGGGGCCUUGGUUUGGUUUGGUUUGGUUCUUAGAUGGGGGUCUCACUCUGUCCCCCAGGAUGGAGUGCAGUCGCAUGAUCACAGCUCACUGCAGCCUCCAACUCCUGGGCUCAAGUGACUCUCCUGAGUAUCUGCGACUCCCACCGACACAGGCCACCGUACCCAGCUAAUUUUUUAAAACUUUUUGUAGAGACACAGUCUCGCUAUGUUGUCCAGGUUAGGUGUUUUUUGUUGUUUGUUUGUUUGUUUGUUUUGUUUUGUUUUUUUAAGGACAAUUCAUAUUGAACAAAUUCAGAAUCAUUAAAAUAUAAGACACCCACCACUUGCCCCUCCAACCCCUCAAUAGGACAUCAACCAUUGAACCAUGCUUUCGGAAAGACAGGAUUUAAAGAACCUACCCCCUGGCCCCCACAGUGGUCAGGCUGGUUCCAAUAAGUAGGAAGACGGUGGGUGGGGGAGAGACACCAGACAAGGUGGGCACCAGGAGAUGCCACCAACCUUCCCACCUGGCCACCCUCCUUGAAGACUCAUGGCUUCAGUGUGAUUUCUGAGCAUGGAGAAAAAAUGACUAAUGGGGGAAAAAAAACCCAAAACACCAACACCAACAACAGAAAAGAGUAAAUCUUGACAUCACCCAGAAUGCUCCCUGAUCUCAAACUGCUGGCAUUUCAGAGCCCUUAAGAGAUGAACCAAUGUAGGGCCAAUUGCCCAGAGCCAGGCAGGGCACGGGGUGGGGAGACUUUGCUGUUUGUCUGACCACAAUUUUCCGACUAGACAGUGUUCAAAGGCAUUUCUACAGUGGAAACUGGGAUCUGAUGGGCAUGUUGGGGCCUGGGGGUAACUGAGGUCAUGAAUAUAAAGGACUCAGUGAUGAUGAUAACCAGUCUUAGUCAGUGUGCGACAUCUGCCAAGUGUUCCAUGAAGCACGUUAGGGGCAUCACCGACCAAGUGCUCCCAGCAGCCCUAGAAGCUGGGCUCUGCGAUGACCCCCACUUUGGCCAUGAGGAAACUGAGGCUUAGAGAGGUUAAGUGACUCACUCGAGUUGUCAGUCAGGUCUGGGUUUGAGCCUUGGUUCUUCUGCUUUUAUACUGUGUGACUUUGUACAAAUGAGUCUACCUGACUAUGCCUCAGUUUCCCCAGCUGAAAGUGGAAAUGACAGCCCCCACCUGGCAGGGCAGUUGUGAGAGGAAUGGAGAGUAUGUGUACAGUGCUUGGUGAGUGGCCUGGCUCAAAUAGCGUGUCCCAAGUCACAGCUGUCACCUCCUUCUCCCUCCGGGCCCUGGUCUUUCAUUCUCUUCCCUCACAUGCUCUCUUCUGCCCUGGUUUUUGUCAGGGAUGCCACAGCGGAUCAAAGCCCAGCCCAGCACUGCCUCAUCACCCCAGAAGGCCUCAGGCGACCCCACUUCUGGCCGGCUGCAGAGAGCAGAGAGAGUGCACUCAGCGCUUGUCGGAGUCUCUGCCCUCCCACCCACUGCUGACCACACACACACGGCCUUCCCACCCACCACUGACCUCUCUAAGCCACUGCCCACCACACCACUGACCCCACCACACCACUGAUCCUGCCCCACCACUGCCCACCACACCACUGACCCCACCACACCACUGAUCCUGCCCCACCACUGCCCGCCACACCACUGAACAUUGCACCACUGACUCUACCAUGCCACUGCACAUCGCACCACUGAUCCUGCCACACCACUGCCCACCACACCACUGGCCCCACCAUGCCACCACCUGCCACACUGCUGACUAGCCCAGCCACUGGCCCGCCACGCCACACAGCCGAGUGCUGAUAAGAGGAGAGGCCCGAGGGCCUGUGGCGUGCCUCUGAUCACCAAGCAGCUGGGGCGGCAUCUGCCAGCAGUUCCUGGCCCUGGGACAGGCCCCCGGUCUGCUGCCAGGGUCUAGCACGUGUGACCUGCCGACAGGGUGGCCCUGAGCCAGGCUGCUUAUGACAGGCAGCACUGUCAUCUGGCCCCAAGGAAGGGUGCCCCAUAGCCAUAGGCCACCUCACUGUGGGGAAAGGAUGUGUGCUCCUGCCCAGGGAAGGGGCUUGGGGACCCAAGAAGCCUGGAAUUUCUUGCUCAGCCUCAGGAAUGAAGGGCUUGAGCUUCUUGCUUUUCUGAACCUAAACGAAACAGAUGAAGUAAGAGCCUCUUGAUUCCUAUACCCUGAGGCCUCAUUUUACGGACAGGACAAGAGUGUCCAUGAGCACAGGUGUGCGCGCACACACACACACACACACACACACACACACACAGAGUCCACCCAUGCGGCCCUGCAGUGCCCUGGAGAAACCAUCUUGCAGAAGCCAUGCUCCUACCCACUCUGAUCCCAUCAGCCCUGGGCCUCCCACUCUCAUCUCCUGGCCCCUUCUGUCCCCUUGUCCCCAAAAUAGCUCUAAGAAACUUGUCACCAUCCCUCUCACAGGCCAGACCGCCCACUUGGAGCCUCCCAGCCCUGGACCAUCCUGUCCCCUUCACCCGGAGCGCCCUCCUCCCUCUACUGCCAGUGAAGUCUUUUGCCUCCUCCGGAGCCACUGUGGAUUUCGACUUCCCACCAUCCCCAACCACCAGAUGAGGACAUAAUCAAGAGGGUCACACUGGCGGCUUCCAGAGGACUCGGUUCAUUCUGAAACUCAGCAGUUCGCAUGCUGCCAGGGCUGUGAUCGAAAGCCUCAGUGGCCACAUCUAUAAAAUGAGGGCACCAAUCCCACCCGCCUGCCACGCAGCAGUGCACGAUGAUCACACCAAAGGUGGGUGUGGAAAAGCCGAGAAGGUGAGAGGGGCCAUUUGGGAAUGAGGGCCCAGGGUCCACAGUGCUGUCAGAUAGGAAGCUGCUGAGGAGCAGCCUAGUCCGCUCCUGUGCUGUUGAUAAACAAAAAGGUGCGUUUUCCAGAAUGUUUCUGGAAGGCCACGCUCCACUUCAGAAAUGGGAACUGGGGCGCUGUCUCCUUCAGCUGUCUGAUUUUCUGGGUGAUUUGAAUUUUAUAUUUAUAUUCUCUCUUUUUAAACCAAGAACAUUCAACCCUUUUAUACUGAAAAAAAUAAUAAUAACUUUUUCCAAAGCGGUUUUUCCAUUAAAACAAAUGAUGUGGCUCUCCCUCCUGUUUGAUGUCACCAAGUUGCUCAACAGGCACCUCAAACUUCAUGUGUCCAAACCGGACGCCUGGCGGCCCCCAAACCUGUCCUCCCCAGUGCCUUCCCUGUGUACACAGGGCAGCUCCCUGCUUCCUUCACUCUGGCCAGACACCCCAGAGGCUUCCGCACAUCCUGUUGGCUCUCCCUCAAAACACACCCUGAAACCAAUCAUUGCCACCUCCUCCACUUCUGCCACGCAUUCCAGGCCACAGUCCUCUUGAAUAAUGACAACCAUUUUCUAUUCUCUGCCCUCGUCGCCACCCCAACCCCUACCCAAUUCCCCAAAGUCCCACCAAAGCCCAUCAAAGCCCCACCCAAUUUGUCUGCCCUAUCACCUCCCUCACCCCUUCUGUUCCUCCCCAUUCACCCGCUCGCCCACAGCCACACAGGCGUCCUUGCUGUUUCUCCAACAGGUUCAGCUCAUUCCCCAUUCAGGGUCUUCACACACGCUGUUCCCUCUACCCGGAAGACUCUUCCUCUGGAUAACCCCUCCCUCCUGCCCCUCCUUCAGGUUUGGGUUCAUUAUCACCUUGUCACCUAGGUGAGGUCUUCCCAAAUCUCUUUAUUUAAAACUGCAGCCCCCUCUCCCACAAUCCCUUAUUUAUCUCUGGGGCAUUCCCACCAUCUGACACAUUAUGUAUCAACGCCUGACGGCGGAGGCACUCGACCAGCGUGUGUUGAACCACCAAAUGCAGCUCUGUAUUUACUGACUCAGAAAAACACGCCCUGCAUUUUCUUGAAAGAAAAAAGUAGUUGCCAAACAGCAGAGAAAAUGUGAUUACAUUUCCUAACAUUAUCUGCACGUGUUUCCACGCGCUGUAGUAGGAGGCACACGUCUGCAGAGACGGGCACCAAAAUGCUCCCAGAAAUGGUGCCCGGUGCUGGAUUCCAGGUCACCCAAUGGUCUUCCAUGAACACACAUGAUUACUUCUACAAUCAGAAAUUACAGCAAAGUGUUUUGAAGGAAAAAAAAAAUGCUAAAACAUACAAAAAUGGGCACCCAAGUUGGUUCUAGAAAGACUCACACUCAGAAGUCUGCUAAAAGGGUCUUGGCCCUAGCAGUGGCAAGACCUACAGCAUUCUGGUGAAAUGGGUGGCCUCCUGAUUCCAGCUGGGAGGGAAGGUGGAGACUCCAGACUUUGGUCCACCCAGACCCCAUUGCUCCCUUCCACAGCCACACAGUGCACCCAGGCCACAAAGAGGCCACAGCCACACCCAUGCCUGCUUCUCACUGCUCUCACUGUACAUGCAUAGGAAGCCAGGGGCUGUGUAAUGCAGACAGCGCUUUGAUUCCAGAAAUGGCAUGAGACCAGCUGAGCAUGCAAGCCAGGCUGUCAUCGGGGGCUCAGGGGGAGCAGGGUGGCACUCUCUCCUGCCCAUCCCAACCAGCACACACCAAAUUUUGCUGUUGCCAUUCUCAGGCAACCAAAGAUCUCAAAGCAAAAAGUAUGGGGAUCUAGAAGGCCACUGCCUGCCCCUGCAGGUCCAGUCAACAGCCCACAUCAGGGGCCCGUGUCACCACAGGGUGGUCACCUGGGAAGCCAGUGAGGUCUGGGAGAGUCCGUAUGGUCAGCAUGGAAGGUUUGAGGCCACUCUUGGGCCUGGGGAUAAGAAGGUCUUCAUGGCAGUGACUCCACCCAUCACACCUGUACCUCACCCAUCACACUUGUACCUCACCCAACAACCCCAGGAGGUCCACGUGUGAGCUAUUGCUGUUUUUACAGAUGGGGAGACUUAGAGUCAUAGGGGAGGCAAGAGAGUGGUAAGGCUGGGAGAAACGGAGCACUCCCGAGAGGAAGGCCAGGGCUCUCAGGACAUGCCCCUGGGUGUUCCUGGAUCUGGAAGAGAGGCCUCUGCUGUCUGAGCCCCACAUUUCCACCAGGACCACCAGCAUCAGGCCAGGCCAGAGCCUUUGUUCAGAGGUUCUGACCUGCAAGAAGGACCCAGCCCCUCUGAGAAUGUCCCCCUAGAAAAAUGCCAUGCAAAGAAAAUUGCACAUUGAAUUUCAGGGGGUUCAUGAACCUCCCCACUACAAGUCCUUUUGUGAAUUUUAGUUUAGGAACCUCUGAGAGUCCAGAUGGGGAAACUAAGGGCUCAAAAAGGGACAGGACUUACCCAGGGUCACAAAGCCAAAGAGGAGCAGAGCCAGGAUCCGAAUAUAGAGGACCCACAGCUGGUAGCAAAGAACCAGCGAGCGAUGAGUUCCCUCGGGGAGCAGAGGCACAGGACAAGAGCCCCCACACACCCUGACUGCCAAGGGCUGGAGCACCCAGACCAACAAGCCCACCUUUGGACGGUUUCUCCACAAGCACUGUCUCAGGCAACCAAACAUUUCAAAGGAAAACGUAGUGGGUCCAGGCAUGGGGGCCCAGGACGUUUGGGGAAUGCUGCGUGGACUUCUCAAGCCUUUCCAGACCACCUGUAGCAGGCCUCCCACGAGGUGCUCACAGAUCAGGGGUCUCCUUACUUCUUUAGACCCUUUGAUAGCAGUCCACCUCCCCAGGGCACCGUGUGCACGUGCAGAUCCCCCCGGGUCUGUGUGCCCCCCUCCCUUCCCUAUGUGCUCCCCACCAGCAGCUCACACCUGGGGGCCCUCUUCAGAGGCCUGCCCUAGGGCUAUGUCUGCAGACUCAGAGAACUGCCGUGUCCCCACCCCAGGUGGCCCUGAGCCUGGUGCAGGAGAAUGAAAGCCCAUACCUCCUGUCACGACAAACUCAGAAGCAUAAUUUAUACCCCAGAGCUCCCCCAGAGGGUCAGACUGAAGCCAAGACUUUGCCUGAAAUGGCACCUGUGCUUGGCUUCUUCCUCUUGUCUGUCCUGCUUCCUCCACUGCCUCACUGGCCUGCCCUGCCCUGGGACAGUGUCCUGAGUGAAUCACUAGCACGUGACCCUCACCUCAGGCUCUGUUUCUGCAGUCCCUGACCUCACAGGGCUCUCCCCUGAACUACGCGGGUAGUUGGAGGAAUCCUGACCCACUUGGUGAAUUCACAGGGAGUAGGCAGGCCAAUGAAUUGCAAGCUGGUUGGUCUCAGACAAAGCAGGUGGAACAUCAGUCCAGCCCAGAAAGGCAAUGGUCACACUGUGGCCAAUCCAGCUACGUGAGAGGCCAGGGACCCUGAUGCCAGGGCUCAGGCCUGAGAGGCAGAAAAAUGGAAAUGGACAUUUUCUUCCCACCCCACCCCACCCCAUGCCAGCCCCACUUCAGGAAACCCCCUCCCCAUCUUUCAGAGCCUAAUUCAAGUGCAAGAAGCUUGUUCUAAGCACCUUGUGCCCCAGGAACCUCUCUCAUUCAGCCAGCGCGUUUCAGGCUGGCUUCACAGACUGUAAGUUUGGGAGGAAGCCGAGGCUGUAGGAAGCUCUUUGUCCCUCAUCUGGCUCCUGCAGUGGGCAUCUGAAAUUCAGAAGCCCCUGGUCUCCAGCGCCCCCUUCCUCCUUCUUCUGGGAACACUUUGAUUUUCCCUGGCGGCUUUCUAGACCUCACAAAUAAAAACAUAGGACAUUCAGUUAAGUUUGAAUAUCAGAUAACAGAUCACUGUGUAGCAUAAGUAUGUCCCAUGUAGUAUUUGGGAUAGACUUAAAACACAAAAAAAUGAAGUGCUAUUUAUCUGAAAUUCAAAUUUAACUGUGUGUCCUAUAUUUUAUCUGGAAACCCUGCCCCUCCAUUCCUCUCACCCACAUGGUGUGGGCAGGCUGAUUUCUCCCCGUAACCACCAGGGAGGGCACAUGACCCAGGCCUGCCCAGUAAGAGCUUCGCACCACGCCAGCCAUGGGGACUGGUCAGGGCCGGGCACACAACCCAAGCUAUGCCAAGGAGAGGCAACCCCAGGACAUCUUCUUUCUCUCUGUUGACUUUGGUGAGAUGUGAGCUGAGAGCCUGACCCUACUGAGAGCACUUUACCACCUCACAGAGAAAUUCUAGCUAUGAAAAAAGCUAAUACCCAGGAAAACAGAGCCACGAGGGGAUGCAAAAGGGGUCCUGACAUCAUUUGAGCCCCUGGAUCAAAUGGUGCCUGAAGCUAGUACCUCCCCUACAUUUUUCAAUGACGUGGACCACAAAAUCUCCCCUUUUGGCUUAAGCCAGGGUGAGCUUAUUCUCCUCAUAAGCCAGUGAGUGAGUCCUGCUCACUCGCUCCUCCUCACCCUUGCCACCUGGGCAUGAGGCUGGGCAGAGUCUAUGCUCAGAGAACAUGUUUAAUUUCACUAAGGAGGAUGGUGUGGGGCGAUGGGAGAGCCUGAGCUCUCCAGUCAAGCAGGCACAGUUCCCGGCCCCACUCGGUUCCAUCCUCGUUCCAAGUCCUUGCACAACAAACUCUCCAUGAGCCUUGGUUUCCCUAUUUGUGAGAUAAACAUAGGUACUUAUACCUGGACUGCCCAUAUAAUGCUAGUGCCUUAACCAGGACACUUUAGAGAGACAAAGGGAGUGCUGUUCAUACCCAGGUUGGGAGAGACUGGAACUGCCCUGGGUAAAGGGACCAGGGAUGCCGUCCCUACAACUGACCCUGCCUGUCUCCACCCGCUUCUGCACUAGCCCUCCCCCACAGCCCAUGCCUUCAAUUCCGCCCCCUCCCCCUCCCCAUCACCACCCUCUGUGCAGGAUGCUCCCCUACUCGCUGCUUCUCGCUGCCUCCUAAUUCAUUCUUCCAGUCUCAGAGAAGCCAUCCCUGGAGCCCCGGGCUCUGUGCGGGCCCCACUCUGCAUCCUCCUUGCAGCCUUUGGCGCUCUGUGAGACAACUACUUGUGGCUUGCAGGCUCCCCAGCCGGCUAAACUCGUUGAGGACAGGGUCCGUACAUUUCUCCCUCAUUACUGAAGGCCCUUACAGAGCUGGCAUGGUGCCUGGAAAACGACACAUAAAAUAGCAGACAAAAAAGGACACCGCUAACCCUCUCUUCCUCCUCUCUGCAGGCUCUGUAUUUUCUCUGUGCAUCGAUAAAACCAUCCUGGCUGCGAUGCCAGGCAGGGACAAGUGAAACUAUGAAUCAUGGAGUGGGGAGGGCAUGGGGCAGGGCUAGGACCCACCCCCAGUGGGCCCAGGACAUGCUGGCAAUGUUCUCAGAGCCAGUGACUUGGGGACAGUGGCCUUAGAAGGCCCCGCCCAGUCCAGCAGCCCCCAGGCGGCGGCAGCAGCAACGCGCUGGCCUUGGGACAGCUUUCAUUGAUCCAAGGCCAAUGUGGACUGGACCUGAGCCGGCUGCCUAUUCCAGCAUCCAGCCCUGGCCCCUGCUCAAAACACAGGCCUGGCGUCUCCCUGUGGCCUUAGCCAGCUCUGUCCUCAGCGGCAGCCAAGUCACUGCCCAGAAUGCAAAUGGGGCAGGUGCAAUGGGCUUCUCCAAUCUGAGACCAAGGCCAUCACAUCCCACACACAGCCCAGGUUGUUCCACACACAAGCAGACAGGGUCCCCUUGGGUUGCUUGGCCCCCGCCCACACAGCUUUCCUGCCUAUCCCCGGGCAGCCACCCCACCUAUUUCUUGGUUCAGCCAGGCAUAUAGCCUGAGGUCAAUUACCUGGAGAACGCAUUGCCACACCAGCUCCCUGGCUCGCACCCCAGCCCAGGUGGCGCACGCUCAUUUUAUUUUCACAGGGCCCCUUCCUGGCUCCACAGCCUUCACUGGCUCCGUGCUUCAAUCAACUCAAAACCCUCUGAAGUCUUGCUGUAGCUUCUCAGUCCAGCUCACUGGGAAACAAAUGGUUAUGGUAGGGAAAAAUGCUAGCCUGGGAGCUGGGUGGUCUGCCUCAGUUUCCUCAUCUGUACAAAAAGAGGAAGCAUGGCAAGAGGGUAUCUCCAAAGACUUUACUGCUACAAUAGAGCAUGACUCCACAGGCUCAGGAGAGGGCCAAUUCAGCCAGGCCCCAGGCUCCGUUCCUCCUCUGCUGUCUUCAGGCCACCCAGAAGGGCCACUGCCCACUUGCAAAGCCAAUGAUCCGUCCUCAGUACCGUCUGUCUCAGGAGGCAAAAGUAUUUUGAGGAGAAGGAAAGAAAAGUGUGGAUGUGAAUGCUUCCCUCAACUCUGCAUCAACCCAGCACCCAACCCUCCCAGCGCCAGACACCCUGCCCACAGGGGAGCCACAGUGGCUACAGAUGGAGAGAGAAGCGCAGCUCACAGGCUGAGGAACAAACGGCAAAUAUCUACCUGCAUGGAACACCAGGAAGGACCCCAUCAGCCUCAGCCUAACAGUCAGUACCUCAAAAAAGAAUUAUCAGGUUAAUUUAAAAAGAGGCUUCAUUCUGGCCGGGCACAGUGACUCACACCUGUAAUACCAGCACUUUGGGAGGCUGAGGCAGGCAGAUGACUUGAGGUCAGGAGUUCGAGACCAGCCUGGCCAACAAGGUUAAACUCCGUCUCUACUGAAAAAAAAAAAUAGCUGGGCAUGGUGGCAGGCACCUGUAAUCCCAGCUACCAGCUACUCAGGAAGCUGAGGCAGAAGAAUCACUUGAACCUUGGAGGUGGAGGUUGCAGUGAGCCGAGAUUGUGCCACUGCACUCCAGCCUGGGCAACAAAGUGAGACUCCAUCUCAACAACAACAACAACAAAAAAAAGGCUUAAUGCUAAUGGCCACAAACUCAUAAUGGCAGUAAAGGAGCAAACGGCAUUGCCAGGUGGUGUGGGGCCCAGACCAUGCCCCCACAUGGCCUGAGGCUUGGGUCCUGGCUCUGUCACCUACAGGUUGUGUGAUGCUGGGCAAACUAAUAAACUUCUUUGUACCUUAGUUUCCUCCUCUGUAUGAUGGGCAAAUAAUAAUAUCUGCCUUGUGGAGUUGCUGGGAGCAUUAAAUUAGCUCACAUUUGUAAAGCGCUUGGAAAACAAUACCUAGUUCCUUAGAAGCACCAUAUAAAUGCUUGUUAAAUAAAUAAAAAUGAAGGUGAAUAUAAAGUACAUAAAGACACACUUGUAAUGUAAAAGAAGGAUGACCAUCUCAAGAAAAAGAAGGAUGACUGUUUCUAAACAUCUUUAGCAUUCGUUGGUUUUAACAUAUAGGAGGGUGUGAACACAUGUGGGGAUUUUUUUCUUCCUCCAUCAGGCAUAGGCCAGACUUACAUGAGGAUCUGAUGUGUUCUAAUAUUAUUUGAACAAACACAAAAGUAUCAGUAUGGGGAGAUGAGGUUAAGCCCAAGAGUUCUGGAAAAGGUUGGGCCUCCUCCAAAAAUGGGAAAGCUGGAUUGGCAGGAGAGGUCACCUAUAGUAUCAAGGUCAAAAGAGUGUUCAGGGCCAGGCACAGUGGCUCAUUCCUGUAAUCCCAGCACUUUGGGAGGCCAAGGCAGGAGGAUCACUUGAGCCCAGGGGUUCAAGACCAGCCUGGGAAUCAUAGCAAGACCUGUCUACAAAAAAUUUAAAAAUUAGCCUGGCAUGGUGGCAUGCAACUGUAGUCCCAGCUACUCAGGAGGCUGAGGCAGGAGGAUUGCUUGAGCUCAGGAAUGGGAGGCUGCCGUCAGCUGGGAUGGUGCCAUUGCACUCCAGCCUGAACAACAGAGCAAGACCCUGUCUCAAAAAGAGAAAAGGAAAAAAAAGAGAAGAGAAAAGAGAGGAGAGGAGAGGAGAGGAGAGGAGAGGAGAGGAGAGGAGAGGAGAGGAGAGGAGAGGAGAGGAGAGAAGAGAAGAGAAGAGAAGAGAAGAGAAGAGAAGAGAAGAGAAGAGAAGAGAAGAGAAGAGAAGAGAAAAGAAAAGAAAGCAUUCAGCAAAGGCCUCCAACAUGAUCCAUUUGCCCGCUGCCUUUAUAGGGGAGCGUGAACUACCCAGACUUGGGCCACCACCUCUGGAGGGAUGAACCCUCGGGGCGGCUCCACUAAUUACAGGUUGGAACUAGCAAGGCACAGCCCUGUCUUAAUGGUGCCCCCGACCAGGCUGACUAGAGUGGGCUGCAAGUGCCAGCUGCCCAGAGCUUCCACCGUGCAGCACCUCAGGGCAUGCUGGGCUAUAGAAAAGCAAAACCAAACAAAACCCAUGAGGAAGGCGUGGGCUUAAAAAGCUCUUUUUCACCACCAGUGAAGUUUAAUGCUUAAAAAGGAAGUCAAGAAACUCGACUGGUGCUUGCGUCUGAGGGACUGGCGCGAGGAAACUCAUUUCCGUAUUCUCUCUACUUUCGUGUCUGUCUGAAAUGUUCUAUGAGAAAUAGUAUUAAAAAGGGGAACUUAGUCUAAAGAACAGGGGCUUGAGUUUAAACCAUCUUGGGAGAAGCAGCCAGGCCCAAGGCUCACCAAGAGUCACCGCGCAACGAGGAAGAUCUGAGUGCUGGGGUCGGAGAGGACAUUAGGUUUCCUUUAGGCACAGUGAGGUCACAGCAAAAUAGGAAGACCAAAUGGUGUGCCGCACUGACCAUGUGCCAGAUGCCCUCCCAAGCGCCCCAUGUUUAUAACUCAUUUAAUCGUCACAACAACCAUGAGGCAGACGUUGCUACUUCCCCAUUCUACAAACAAGGAAACUGAGGCAGACAGUAGUUAAGAAAUAUGAGGCCAGGCAUGGUGGCUCACGCCUGUAAUCCCAGCACUUUGGGAGGCUGAGGCAGGUGGAUCCCUUGACGUCAGGAGUUUGAGACCAGCCUGGCCAACAUGGUGAAACCCCAUCUCUACCAAAAAUACAAAAAUUAGCCGGGCAUGAUGGCGGGCGCUGGUAAUCCCAGCUAAUCGGGAAGCUGAGGUGGAAGAACUCUCUUGAACCCAGGAGGUGGAGGUUGCAGUGAACCGAGAUCACACCACUGCUCUCCAACCUGGGCAACAGAGCAAGACUCUGUCAAAAAAAAAAAAAAAAAAAAAAAAGCAGAAGAAAAGAAAAGAAAAGAAACUUGAACAAGUAGCUAACAAGUGGCAGCACUGGGAUUUCAACCCAGCCUACCUGGGCAUGAGGCUGAGCUCUAGCCACCCUGCUGAGCUGCUGCUUCAUUUCAGCCAAGAACAGAUCUCAGCCCAGUGGGGUCAGAUGCAGAAACAAUGGCAAAACAAUGGAUUAAAGCUAUAGCCUCAACAGCAUAGCUUUGGCAUGGGCUUAUUUGCAAGGGCAGACAAGCUGAUAACUACCGUUACCUGCUGUUAGGGUAUGUGACCUGUCAUUCUAAACUUGCAGUCUCAGUCCCAGUUAUUUAAGUUAACUUGAAAUCAGCAUUUAAAUCUUUAAGAAAUACUGGUUCCUCUAUUAGAUAUGUAAGUUGAAUGAACUGAGCAAUAAACAAAAUACUGAAGGGUGUAAGUUUUCCUUUCCAUGUAUGAAUGUGGCCUGGACAUUAAGGAAUCCCAUCAGUACCAGGCCACCAGCCAUUCCCGUUUCAUUUGCUGUCCACCCAAAUCAGCCACACCUGCCCUGAGGACAUCUGCACUAGGGCAGUGAUCCCCAACCUUUUUGGCACCAGGGACCGGUUUUAUGGAAGACAAUUUUUCCAUGGAUGGGGGCAAAGGGAGAGGGGUCGGCAGACGGUUUCGGGAUGAAACUGUUCCACCUCAGAUCAUGAGGCAUUUGAUAGAUUUCCAUAAGGAGCACACAACCUGGAUCCCUUGUAUGCACAGUUCACGAUAGGGUUUGCACUUCUGUGAGAAUCUAAUACCACUGCUGAUUUUGACAGGAGGCAGAGCUCAGACGCUCACCUCCUGUAGUGCUGCCCAGUUCCUAAUAGGCCACAGACCUGUACCCACCCUUGGCCCAGGGUUUGGGGAUCCCUGCUCUAGGGAACUCUUUGGGAUUCCAUUUACUGAUUCAACUCUGGACUUAGGUCCAUGAUACAUCCCAGCUGUAGAAGCAGAGGGAAGUCCAGAGGUAAAGCAUCUCUCCUUAGUGACCCACACCUUCUUUCAGAUCCAUCAAGAUAUAUGCAAACUGCAGAGCAAUUUUUCCAUGUCAGACAUAGAAGCCAGAGAACAAAAGUUACGUGGAAAGCCUAGAUAAUGCUUUUCCCCCCAAAGUAAUACAAUGUUGGGCUAUGUUAAUAGAAGUAUUACACCUAUAUUUUGGGAGGUGACGAUUCUACUAUUUUCUACUAGGUUAGGUGCCACCUGCAAACAAAAUCUCAUAUAUAAAGAAAGACAUAGCUACACCAGCCUUGCGAUUCAAAGUGUGGACUAAGGGCUAGCAGUCUUGACAUAGUCUAGGAAGUGGUCAGAAAUGCAGAGUCUCAGGCCCCAUCUACCCUACAAAAUCAGAAUCUGCAUUUUUGCAUCAUCCCCACACAAUUCAUAUACACAUUCAAGUUUGAGAGACCCUGGUAUAGGGAUGACCAGAAAGAUGACUGCAUGAUUACAGCUAAUAUUGAUAUACCUAGCACGUACCAAGCCCUAUUUUAAUACAUGUGAGUACUUUAUAUCCACACAGCUUUCGAGUCGUGGAGCUGAUGGCAUAAUGGUGAAGGGGUAGGACCUCAAGGAACAGUGAGAACUCACGACGACCUGAGAGAUGGGAUGGAAGAAGCCAGCUUCCUGCCUUCAGACAGGGAGAGAAUGACUCCCUCACCAGAGGAAGAAGGACAAUUCUCCAUAUUUCUUGAAGGCAGAGCAGGACUAAUGACACAUAAGGCCCAAAUUCUCUAUCAUUCCAGGAGCUAGAGUUGUCCAACAAAGGACAAUCAAGGGAGUGAGCUUCCUGUCACAGGAGGUAUCCAAGCAGAUGCUGGGAGGCCUUCUGUACAGGAUGCACAGAAGAGGAUUCCCAUUUCACAAAGGAGUCAGUCUUGAUGGGUUGAACUUUUCUCUCUAAUUGCAAGGCCAGGAAGGCAUCUUCUAUAUCUACUGGGAACCAGAAGGUGGGUGUGCUCCCAUUCCCCACCAAAAGCUGCCUGUGGGUUGCUAUGGCCUAUGACAUACUAGGAAACCUCUGUGGUCUCAAAAGUCGGAACAGAAGAUGGGGCCUAUUAUUAACCCUUCAGCCCCAGCACCUCCCUCAACCUAGACUGCAGACACGUGGCUCACGGUGGUCCUCAGGUAAUAAGCAGAGCUAAAUGACCCCUGGCUGGAGAUGGGAGGGGAGGUAGGGAGACAGCCACCCACCCCCCGCCCAAACAAGGAGACGCCUCUGUGACUCAGUGAUCCACGCUUUCUCAAACAGGGAAACUCUUUGAAGAAGUCCCCCAUCCACUCACCAGUGGGCCACCACCUUGACUAACCAGAUCCCACGUGCUGGUAUCUACAAGUGACUGCAAGUUUUGCUCUGUUCACAGAAGAACGAGGUGAAAAUGAAAAAACUUUGUUGGGAAUUUGCCUUCUAAAAUGUCAAAGGCCAGGGAAAUGGACCUGGCAUGGAGGCAGCAGGGCUGAGGGUCAGAGUCUGACCACCGGGGUCAAACUUUCAGCUCCACCCUGGGUGGAGGGUGAAUCUAAGACCUCCCUGAGCCUUAUAUUCUUGUCUGGAACAUGAAGAUGAGAAGAAUCCCUGCCUCGUGAAACCUUAGAGCAAUGCCUAGCAUGCUGUAAGCACCACAUCCAAGGAACACCAACAGUGGACAGGAACAGAACCCUUGUGAAGAGGGUGCUUUACUGAGUAUGUCCGUUAAACAGGGCACAGACUCGAUGAAAUGACAAACACACAGUGAUCAGCACGUCUGUGACACCCAGGGGUCACUUGUUCAAUGCUAGCUGUUAUCACGGUCCUUCCCACUGCUAUCAGUUAUUACUAUUACCAAACUCCCAAUGGAAACAAGACCACAGUGUCACAGAGCACAGUGUCCAGCCCAGGAGGAGGAGGUACAGAGAGGAGGAAUGCAAGACUCUGAGGGCUGGGGCGGGAAUGACUUGGGGCGUGGGGAAGGCCCUGCCUGGGUAAACGCUUGGCGGCUGGAUCUUGGAGGCAGCAAGGCCUCUGGAGAGCCAGCUCCACGGCCUCAGAAGUCAGGCCAGCUUUCAGUUCCCGGCAUCCGGGCCCCACGUCCCCCAUCGGGCCUGCUGCCCAGGGCACUCAGAUUCUUCCAAGGCCCAGGAUGCACGUCCAAAGCAGCCUCUCAGACUCAGGCCCCGAAUUCCUUGGCCGGCAGGGUUCACGUCUCCAUGCGGCUGACAGAGCCCAGCUGCCGGGCGCCUUCUCCUCUGCUCCCACCAAGGCCCUACCAGCCCCUGAGCCCAGGAAUUGGGAAGUGCCAGCAUCCCCAGCUCCUGCCCCAGCCACGUAAUCAGUACAAGCACCCAUGAGGGACUUUAGCUAUCCCCCUUGGUUCCUCUGCACCUGGACAGUGGCAGGUACUACAUGUUCAAAAUCGGAAUCUAAUGACAGGUUUCCCCAUCCACCUCCUUUGUGACCUUCUCCAGGGACUGGAAGGAAAUCCCAUGAAAGAACAAGUUUUACAGAAAAAUUAACAAAAAAGAAUCCUCUCUGUUCUCCAAAGCAGCAUACCCCAAAUCUGGCAGCACUCGGACUCCUGAGGACAGCAAGGGAAAAUGCCAUGCCUGGGCUCGGCAGCAGGUGCCUUCAAUCGGGGGUCCGUGCAGCCAGGCCCACAUCUCGGACCUCAGUCUGGGCGCCUGGGCCUCAUUACGAUCUACAGACGACAGCCCAGAGCCCUCAGAUACACAGGUGCUAUAGGGUAAGUGUAGGGGUGUCAAGAAGCUGCUGUCCACACUCAUAAAGGGCUCAGCAGGUGACAUCCUAAAUGAAAGAGACCCUUGUUUAUCCAUGGAGGUCAAGGGAAAGAAACCAAACAGCCCCAGUAGCUCUCAAUUCUCCAUGUGCCUAUGGCCUUGGGUUGCUUAUAAGCUGGCUGGUAUUUUAAUAAUUGCUAACAUUUACCAACGGCUACUCUGUGCCAGACACUGUGCCACAUGCUUUACAUUUAUCCCCUUUUCAAACCCUUGCAACAUCCCUUCUAUUAUCAUACCCAUUUUACAGAUGAGAAAACUGAGGCACAGGUUAAAUAAUGCCCCAAAGUUACACAUUUGGAAAGCAGCAAAGGUAGGACCUUGCCCAAUUCUAGGACCUAUGGGCUGGGAAAAGACCCUUCAACCAAACUGGGGCAGGCUGAUUACAUUCAUGUACUAAUUUGUUCAUGCCUAACUGAUUCCAUACCCUUUUGGGGGAGCCCUCCCACACUGAGACUGGGCUUAGCCACGUGACUUGCUCUAGCAGACGGGACGGUAGUGAAUGUGAUACAGAAACUUGAUAAGGCACUGGGGAGUCCACUUCCUCUCUCAGACCCUGUCCCUGCAAUAAGAAACGCCUGGCCUGCUGGAGGGAUAGGACAUACACAACAAGGAGAGGCCACUGGUCCCAGCCAAUUCUGAUCUAGACCAGGAAGCUGUGGCCAACUGUCUUGAAGCAUGAGCAAGCCCAGCCCAGAUCAACCCAGCCCAGGUCCAUACAGCUCCCACCUACUCGCAGAUGUGGGAGGAAUAACUAAGUCUUAGGGUGGUUUGCAACAUGGCAACAGCUAACUGAUAUGCCAACUGCACUGCCUGUUCUCUUUUGACACAAGAAAAUAACUGCCUGAGAAUUAAGAGAAUGAGUGAGAAAGACAUUUAAAUCAAAGGGUUUGCUUUAAAUGAGGGAUUGUCAAAAAGUUACUGUGUUUAGAUCAGGAUUCAAAUUUUAGAAUUCUUGACAAUACCCAUGAAGGGAUCAAGCCACAUCAGGAGUCACAACUCUACUCGCUCCAUCACACCUGUGUCAUGUCCUUUAAAUGGAACCCUUUAUUGAUCUGUUCUCCUCUUUUAUAUACUUAAAAGGCAAUGCUCUACCAUGUGCCAGGGGACACGGCAUCUUUCUUCCAUGCCAGCCUGACAUGAAGCUACACCUCUGUGUCAGCUAUCCAUCAUUGUGUAAAAAAAACCGCUCCUGAACUUAGUGACUUAAAACCAUCAUUUUACUAUCUUUCCUGAUGCUUUGGGCAGACUGGCCUCAGCUGGGCAGUUGUGCUGGUAGCUCCUGAGUCUUGUGUGGUUGCAGGGGGAGGAAGGCUGGGGCUGCUGUCAUCAGGAGUUUGUCUGGUCUGGAAUACCCCAAAUGGCUCAUGUCUGACGCCUUGGUAGGGGUGGCUGGAAGGCUGGGCUCAGCUGGGACACUAAUUGGGACAUUGGGAGAACUGGGCCUCUCUCUUGUCCUGUUCGGUCUCAGAGCCUCACUCUCCACGUGACCUCUCCAAGUAGUUUCUCCAGCAAGGUAGCUGGACCUCUCAUAGGGCAGCUUGGGGCUCUCAAAAGCACAAAAGCAAAAGCUGCCAGGCUUUCUUACACAUCCCUCCCACUGCCUCUGUUGGUUAAAGCAGUUACAGGGGCCACCUAGAUUCCAAGUGGGGAGUAAACUCUACCUCUCAGUGGGAGGGCAACAAGUUGCAGCCACUUUAAGCCACCAAACCUCUCACCUCCUACACGCGGCCCCCUCUGCCUAACACCCAAGUCGGUAGCAGCACACAUCCUGAAAUGGAGCAAUAAUGCAUUUUUUUUUCCCGGGAUGGAGUCUCGCGCUGUCGCCAGGCUGGAGUGCAGGGGCGCAAUCUCGGCUCACUGCAACCUCUGCCUCCAGGGUUCAAGCAAUUCUCCUGCCUCAGCCUCCCAAGUAGCUGGGAUUAUAGGUGCCCACCACCACAUCUGGCUAAGUUUUGUAUUUUUAGUAGAGUCAGGGUUUCACCAUGUUGGCCAGGCUAGUCUCGAACUCCUGACCUCGUGAUCCACCCACCUCGGCCUCCCAAAGUGCUAGGAUUACAGGCGUGCGCCACUGCGCCUGGCCACAAUAAUGCAUUUUUACCCCAAUGCACACUGGGCAGCAGGCCUGGGAUGGGUCUGCAGCAUAUGCAUUGAGUAAACAAAUGGUGUAUUCCCAGCAGAACCACAGAUAAUUCGUGGAUGAACAUCAAGACAAAGGUAGCAGCCUUGGAACCCCAGAAUCCCUGCUGUGUCACGAGAGUGCCCCAAGGUGCCAUUCCAGAAUGAAUGAAUGUGUGGGAUGACCACUGAAUGGCAAUGUUCCUCUCCCUGCACAUACACAGGGAUGUCUGGAAGGUAUGAGGCAACCACAUUCUUUGCAAAUACCUCAGUCUAAAAAUGGGCACCUGCAAGAUCCAGACUCCCCUGGGAGGGUCCACUUUAGGAUAUGUGGGAGGGGGCAGCUCUCUCUCAGGGCAUUUUGAAUCUCAUUUUGGCUGGGGCUCUAGGCACAGACCUGAGGGACUGCUGUAGGGAGGACAGCCCUGCGAGAGUCCUUAAUCAUCUAACUAAAACCACGUUCAAGGCAUAAUUAGCAAACAGCUCCAGAUUCAUGAUCUGAGGCCCACUGACUCUAAUGGACUAAUUAGGUGAGACAUCCUUGGGCGGGCAAUGCACUCUGGCCUUCUCAGAAACAUCCCAGAGAGCUCAGCAGAUCAAGGCUGGCAUCUGGUCCAUGAGCUGCCUUACGAUGGCUGGGCAAAGAGACAAACGCAUUACUGGGCAAGAACUACACACAGCUUCCAGAGAUCAACAAGGCAAUCCCUUCCACCCCAGCAGCCCCAAACAACCAAUCCUUGCAACACUCAGAUCCUGGACACAAAAUCCUUUGCUCUGAGCAAUCAGCAACAUGCUCUCUGCCUCCUGAACCACCCUGCCCUUUCCAAAUCAAGGCUAACAGCAAUAAAGGGCACGCAUGCCUACACACACAAUUCUGCCCUCCCCAGGUCCCACUCCUCUGUAAGCUAACAGCCACUGAGAGCUGCUACAAGACAGCACCUCAUCAUCCUGGAUCAGAAAAAUAAAUCACCAGCUCUGUGGAAGCCCCAAAAGUACUCAGGGCCUCAAAUCCACCACAGAUAGCAGACACUUGCUGUUUAGCCAGUUCUCUCCAUCCGAGGUGCCUCUGAGUAAGUGGCAGGGGUCCCACAAAGCAAUAGGAGCUGGCAGAAGGCAAAGCCUUAGCAAAGGGAAAGUCUGCAUCUUUGGGAAGCCCUCGAUGCCUCUGACAUAAUAGCAGGUACAGGCAGGAAUGCAAUAGACAUGCUGAGUGAAUGCAAGAGAAAGCACCCGAGAGAAUGAGAGCACUCAAAACCCUGCAGCACUGUUUGCCAAAGGACUCCCUGGCCAGAGAAGCUUGGGAAACUGGUCCCUAAACUGAAGGAAUCCUGAGUAAUACGAAAACUCCAUAUUCCAGAUUCACAAUGCACAUUAAGACAGUGAAGGCUCUGAGAAUUCCUGCAGUUAAGGAACUUAUUUAAUGGGUAGUUGCAGCAAUUGUUUCACAACACUAAUUUUGCAAAGAAUCUUUUUUUCCCCAGAAUCUCCAGUGGGAUAAUAUAUUUAGGAAAUAUUGUCCCUGGUAAGCAAUACAUCAGUACAGGGCAGAUACCGCAAGCCCCAAUCCCAUAGGAGCUAAGGAGCUAAGUUAUUUAAAUAAGUUAAAUGGGGGCAGGUUUAAUAUUUGCAUAAAAGGCAUAUGGAAACACUCUUCAUCUCCAUGAAGAAAUAUGCUCUAAUUUUUCAGAAAACAACCAUUUUGGUUCAUCUUUUCUCUUCCAUCUUUGAUAGCAAUUGUUUCCUAUGAGAGAAAUAGAAACAUUUAUUUAAAAGCAAUAUAGUUCUAUAGAAAACCAAUGUGCAAAGGCAAUGAUGAAAAAAACAGAGAGAAAAAUGAGAAACAGGGUUGGUGGGCACUGCAGGGGCUCUGGGGGACACAGGCCCUGUCCAAGAGCACAGCCACAUUCAGCUCCACUUGAAUAUUGCCAGGCUAAGAGGUUGAUGCCAAUGAUAUUAGCUUUUCCAAUUUUUAAAAAGAAGUCAGAAAUCUGGAGUUCUGAGUGAAAUUCCUCAUUUUUAAAUGUUGGCUCAAAUUGUUUAAAAAAUUGAAAGGGUCAAACAAAACAUUCCUGGGAGCUAGAGUCAGCUCACCAGGUUGCAAUUUCUGCCAAAAAUGACAGAGUAACGCUCAUUCGACUGGUGCUGCCACCCGUUUCCCAAGCUUCUCUGGCCAGGGAACCCUUUGACAAGGGUUUGAGUACCCUUAUUCUCUUGAGUGCUUUCUCUUGCAUUCACUGAGCGUGUGUACUGCAUUCCCUGCGUGUACCUGCUAUUAUGCCAGUUGCAUUGAGGGCCUCCCAAAGACGCAGACUUUGCCUUUGCUAAGGCACCGCUCUAAGCACUGGGCCCUCGCCUCUCCUUGGGCAGGCCCUGGCAUGUGUGGGAAGGGGUGAGCACACAGUGUGAGGCCAGAAUGGCCAGUCCAUCAAGGGGAUCCAUCAUGGUGUCAUGACAACACUCCCUAAGGUCCUUUUCAGAAAUAGAAUUCAUUCUCAAAUCAAAACUAAAAACAGAAAGCCCACCUGGAGAGGCCAGCAAAGGAAGACAUAGUCCACGGGACUGAGAGAGUGCAUGUGUAGCGGGUUGGGGUGCAUGCUUAGUGGGUUAGAGUGCAUGUGUAGCGACUAGCCGGUGGGACCAAGACAGUGCGUGUGUAGCUGGUAGCCUGUGGGACUGAGAGAGUGCAUGUGUGUAGCAGGUUAGGGUGCGUGUGCAGCAGGUACCCAUGGGACCAAGAGAGUGCAUGUGUAGCAGGUAGUCCGUGGGACCAAAACAGUGCAUGUGUGGCGAGUUAGAGUGCGUGUGUAGCAGGUAGCCCAGGAGACUAAGAGAGUGCAUGCAUGGCAGGUUAGAGUGCAUGUGUAGCAGGCAGCCCACAGGAGUAAGACAGUGCAUGUGUGGCGGGUUAGAGUGCGUGUGUAGCGGGUAGCCCGCAGGAGUAAGACAGUGCAUGCGUGGCGGGUUAGAGUGCGUGUGUAGCGGGUAGCCCGCAGGAGUAAGACAGUGCAUGCGUGGCGGGUUAGAGUGCGUGUGUAGCGGGUACCCCGCAGGAGUAAGACAGUGCAUGCGUGGCGGGUUAGAGUGCGUGUGUAGCGGGUAGCCCGCAGGACUAAGACAGUGCAUGCGUGGCGGGUUAGAGUGCGUGUGUAGUGGGUACCCCGCAGGAGUAAGACAGUGCAUGCGUGGCGGGUUAGAGUGCGUGUGUAGCGGGUAGCCCGCAGGACUAAGACAGUGCAUGCGUGGCGGGUUAGAGUGCGUGUGUAGCGGGUAGCCCGCAGGACUAAGACAGUGCAUGUGUGGCUGGUUAGAGUGCGUGUGUAGCGGGUAGCCCGCAGGAGUAAGACAGUGCAUGCGUGGUGGGUUAGAGUGCGUGUGUAGCGGGUAGCCCGCAGGAGUAAGACAGGGCAUGCGUGGCGGGUUAGAGUGCGUGUGUAGCGGGUAGCCCGCAGGAGUAAGACAGUGCAUGCGUGGCGGGUUAGAGUGCGUGUGUAGCGGGUAGCCUGCAGGAGUAAGACAGUGCAUGUGUGGCUGGUUAGAGUGCGUGUGUUGCGGGUAGCCCGCAGGAGUAAGACAGUGCAUGUGUGGCGGGUUAGAGUGGUAGCGGGUAGCCCGUGGGACUGAGAGAAUGCAUGUGUAGCAGGUUAGAGUGCGUGUAUAGUGGGCAGCCUGUGGGACUGAGAGAGUGCAUGUGUAGCAGGAACACAUGCACAAUGACAGCCUUAUUAGACCCUCAUAACAGCCCAUGUGAUAUGUGGCUGAGGCUUUAUUUAAAUAUUUCUUUCUUUGUUUUUAAAGAUGAGGCUCAUGGAUGUCAAGUGACUUCUCCAGGUGAUCAUAGUGACAUUUGCAUUCCCAGAGACAAAAGCAGCCCCUGAUGAGAUAAGGCAGUGACCGAGACAUAGCCAGUGGUCUUGCAUCCAGGCCAGCCAGCUACUAAGCUGCCCAGGAGAACUACAGGCUGCAGAAGGCCUCCUGAUCACCUGCAGAAUCAUAGGAGAUGGAAUGCUGCUCUCACAGAUUUCUCAGAAGCUGACUGACAGACACUGCAAUAUGAGAAAUGUACACAGUGUGGGUAUCUGAUCAGAACCUGGGUGUGAGUCUCUCAGCAGAGCACUAGUAGAUCCCCAGGGGAACAUCACUCCGCACAGUAAAAGAGGCAGAAUCUUCUGGAACAUGGAGCUGGACAUGGCCAGCUGAAGAAGCAGAAGCCAGCAGAAAAGGAGGCUCAGGUACCAAGGGCACCUGCAAAGGGAACAACGACUCAAGCUGGUACUAUGGCAGAGAUGGCUACCUGCCCCCAAAUAUUCCUACUUCCUCUUCCACAGUGUAGAGUUGUCAGCAGAAGGUAGCUGCCCAGAUGGGACUACAUUUCCCAGCACCUCUUUCAUCAGGGUGGGGCCAUGUGAUUAGUUCUCACUAAUCGAACAUGAGCAGAAGUGGUACAGAAUGAUUCACAGUCAGGGAUCUUAAGCAGUGGGAAGAGUUUUUCUACUCUCUUAUUCCCCUUUCACCAAGUAGAAGCAGAGAACUCAGAGGCUCUCACAGAUGAACAAGCCACAACAUGGAAGGAGCCUGGACCACUAAGUCACUCAUUUUCCAACCAAGGUACCUGUAUUGGACUGGUCCAUGAGUGAUAAAUAAAAUUCUAAACUUCAAUGUCAAGGUGUCUUUACUACAACAACCAGAGUUGCCCCAGCUAAAACACAAGUGGAAAGAAAGAAGAAUACAUGGGUCAAGAAAAUAAGUCCUCACUGGGGUAAGAAGCUCAAGGCAAAAGCAAUACAGGAAAAAAUCUAUCUGCUAAAUCAGAUCAGUCACCACCUCCUACAUACAAUGCCUCCCACCUGAAUGCCUCUACAUAAAGGUCAACUUUAAGACCCCUGGGUGCUUAGCUAUGCCUACCUUGAUUAAGAAUGGCUUACAAAGACAAAUACUGCGUGAUCUCAUUUAUAUGUGGAAUCUAAAAUGGGCAAACUCAAAGAAGCAGAGUGGAACGGUGGUUGCCAGAGGCUAGGGAAAGGAGGAAAUGGAAAGGGGUGAUGGCCAAGGGGUACAAAGUUUCAGUUAUGCAAGAUAAAUAGGUUCUGGAGAUCUACUGCACAGCAUCGUGCCUAUAGCUAACAGUACUCCAUUAUAUAUUUAAAAUUUUCUAAGAGGGCAGAUCUUAAGUAUUCUUUCUCUAUCUCUUUCACACAAAUAAUAAUAAUAAAGAGGGCAGGAGGAAACUUGGGCAGAUUAUAGACAUGUCUAUGGCCUUGAUGGUAGUGAUGGUUUCAUAAGUGUAUGCUUAUUCCCAAACCCAUCAAGUUGUAUAUAUUAAUUAAGCAUAGCUUUGUACAAGUCAAUCAUAUCUCAAUAAAGUGAUUUUUUAAAAUAAAGAAUGACUUAUGAAAACUCAUUUAGGGAAAAAAGAAGGUUAUUUACCAAAUAUACUCUACCCACCCACCCAACAACCCUCCGCUGGGAAGGUAUUCCUACUAUCUCCAUCAACAAGUGAGGGCCACAAGGUCAGGAGGUGUAGUGACUUGGCCAAGGUCAUGAAACUGGUAGAGGCAGAGCUUGGUUUUAACUUAAGACCCUAUUCCUUCCACCAACCCAACCUGCUCUGAAUGGUGUAAAAUAUUUGUAUCAUUUCCCACAAAUCACUUUCUGCCUUGUAUAGGGCCAGCCAGGUAUGGUGGCCUCCGCAACACAAUGGGCACCUCCUGAAGGCAGGGACUCAGGCCAUCCAUCAGUGCAGUCUCACAGGGCCCAGCAGGGGCCUCUCAUCACUGACUGCAGGGAGUCACAUGCUGCUUGACUUCAUGCCCUCACCUGUUGACGGGGAUGGUAGGAAUACCUUCCCAGUGGGUCACUGGGUGGGUGGACAGAGUAUACUUGGUAAAUAACUUUCUUCUUUUCCCAAAAUGAGUUUUUAUAAGUCAUUCUUUAAAAAAAAAAAAAAAGCACUUUAUUGAGAUAUGAUUGACUUGUAAAAAGCUAUACUUAUUUAAUACAUACAACUCAAUGAAUUUGGGGAUAAGGGUACACCCAUGAAAUCAUCACCACCGUAAAAGCCACAGGCAUACCCACAAUCUCCCCAAGUUUCCUGCAGCAGCUCUCAGGCCAAAUUCUGGUGCAUUUUCAGGAUACUCAGGAGGCUUCCACCCCAAAUCCUGUCCUCUAACCCAGCUCUCUCCACCAAGGAUAAUCAGAAACAUAACAAAAGGCACUGCUUCCACUUCUGAACAAUCACCAUUUGAUCAUAGCAAUCUGGCUAUGGAUGGAUAAUCUUAUGAGUCAUUCAUUAUCAAUAUUUAAACCAGGAAUUACCAUCACUAGGGGUUACAUCUUCUUUGCUAUCUGGAGGAGGAGAGGAGAGGGAGUGACUGAAUGUCUUCAUGUAAUUGGACAUGGGGGUGAGUAUAGCUGCUCCUCCCAGCUCUGCUCUGAGGCUUGCGAAGGCAAUACCCACAUCUGCCCACCAUCAAGCCUCCAUCUGACCAGGGCCUGUUCAGGGCCUGGGUGGGACCCUCAGGAGAGUAAGGGCAAACUAGCAUAUAGUCCCAACAAAAGGCAGGAAUAAGCCAAGAAGCUAGCAAUCAAUUCUGGGAACUCAGAAUCUUCUAGAAUAUUCUUGAGCCCAGGUAGGAGGCUUGGUGGGCUCUGCAGCCCAGAUGCUCCCCUACGGCAGGGUUUCUCCACCUUGGCACUGUUUACAUUUGGGGCCAAGGUCACUCUUUGUUGCAGGGGCACAUCCUGUGCACUGCAGGAUGGUUGGCAGUAUCCCUGACCUCCACCUGCUAGAGGCCAGCAGCACCCCCAACCCAGCCAUGACAAUGAGGGAUGUACCCAGAUAUCGCCAAAUGUCCUGUGCUACCAUGGAGAACCCCUGCUCCAAAGGAUGCAACAAAUGGUGGCCACACCAGAAUUUAGGCCUGGUGUUUUCCCAUUUUCCAUUUUCUUCUAUCUGGAUUUUUAUGUGAUAUGUCUCCAUUUUUAAAGUUUGGCAAUUAAUUAAAUAUUUUUAUGCUGCUAAAGCCAAAAAGCAUGUGUAAAGGUCACUGGCCAGAGCCUCCACCAAGCCCUCUGCUAAGUCCAGAUGGAAAAUGAAAAAGCACAUAACCUACUUCUCAGUGUUCGAGCUCCUGAGUUCAAGAGCAAGUCCGUCCCCACAGCCCGGGGAAGGAGCCCUGGAAAGGGAGGCCCACGUUAUUUCUGGGGGGAAUAUUGCCACAAGAUCACCUGUCAAAGGGGCUCUUCAAAUCCCUUCUCCCAGGAACACAGACAACCCCAUUUGUUCUUUCUCCCCGAAAAUACAAUUACCCUCGCGCUGAUGUUCUGAAAACCAGGCCCUAAGCCGGCUCUGGCCUAUGAAGCAAACACUUGUGAACCACCCGCCUAUAAAACCAGCCAGCCUCUGGGCACUGGUGAAUCUUUUAGUGCCAACGUUACCCCAGAAGACUGGCCUCCCUAUCUCUCAGCCCCUAGUUAAAGAACUUGAUCUGAGCAAGUUUCCUUUCCUUCCAGCGAAAAUCUGGGUUACUAGGGGGAGGGCAGUAGAGAAUCUAAUAAAUCUUAGAAUAUACUUCUUGGCUAAAGGAAAAAAAAAAAAAACACCUACUUACUGGUGUCAUGAAACAACUUUCCAGCUCUCUCAGAAGACAGCUGGGUUCAGAAGUUACUAUUGUAUUCAAGCUGUAUUAAAUCAAGCUGUGAGAAGCACCAGGGUUAUGCUUUUAAAGAAUGCCCUAAGCCAAUUCUGAUGUUUAAAGGGAAAAGGAAAAAGUUUCCAAGGCUUCCAUAAAUUCCAAGGAGAGGAAGUUUCAAACUUGGGUGUUCACAGACCAUGGCCCCCACAUAGAAACAGCUUGGUUUCAUGUAUUUGGUUUUACUGUUCAAACUUUAGGGUCUUUUAACUUUUUAUUUUUACAGGGCUCAGAAGAAAAGGGAGAGGGAGCCAUUUGCUCACCAAGUGCCAAAGAAAACCCAAGCGCCUCCCUCAGAGGGCCUCUGCCUGGGACGACAACGAGGCAAGGAGGUGGGGAGGGGACCCCCUGGCUCCUGGCACGCCCCAGGCACAGCUCCUCCUGCCCGCUGGAGGCCAGGCCUGCGAGGCCAGCUGCUAAUGAACUCCAACAAGAUCAAUCCAAGGCGAGACCACGCUGCACUGCCAUUCGGCCGUGCCUGGGCCUCGGCCACCAGCAGCAGGAGGAGCAAAAUGGAGAGUUUCCAAAAACAAGAUGAGGCCCAGCCAAGUCCCAAGGAAUCCUAAAUUUAGUCCCUGGGGGAAGACGGCUAUGUCGACUCAGCCAGGACACCAGUGAGGCCCAGCAUCCUUUGAAAUGUCAACCAAACUAAACAGGCCCUCCCAGGACACCUCAGCCCCCAGUUCUGACUCACACCCACAUUUCCAAUCCCUAGCCCCCACUGUCCAAGGCCUGUGUACCUAGGAGGUUGGGCAAGACAAGGGAGGUAUACCCAUUUGACAGGAGAGAAAAUUGAGUCCCAGAAGAGGUAGUGGUGAGGUAGAAUGAACAUAGGCAGUCCUGCAUUUGGAUCCAGCAUCAAGUUCUAUCACCCAAUACCCAUGUGACUAGGAAGAAGACAUUCUGCCACUUGGAGCCUCAGUUUUACCAUCUGUAAAACGGGAGUGAGACUAUUUCAAAAAGUACUGAAAAGACAUAAAAUUUUAAAAUUUCUAUGUAUAUAUAGACACACAUGCAUUAUAUAUACAUACAUAUAUGUCAUAUACAUGUGUGUUAAAAAGAGACUGCUGGGCUGCACCCCAGACAUAUAUAGUCAACAGCUGUUGUUUGUGCCAGCUCAGCACCCUCACCCCCGCCCCUGCUCCCCUCUCAGCCCCUGUGGCUGAGGCCAGCCCAACCCGUUUCCGUGAGAGUUCUCAGACACCUAACUGAAUCAGAAUCACCAGGAGCUGAACCCAGGUUAUUCAAUUUUCCCCAAGCUAUUCUAAUACACAGAGACACUUUUAGGAGCAGCUGCCAGAUAAAUUCAGAAGAUCCAAGUGGCUAAGCUCAGAGAGGGUGCGACCCUCCUCCUAGCCCUCAGGAAGCGGUACAUCUGCAAAGGGUCUCAGAUUCUAAAGGGCUGUCAGGGUGGGACCCUCUCCCAGCUCUGAGCCAAGAUGCAGAACCCAGAAGGGGAGGUCCUGAGGGGCAGAGACCAGCAGAACUCUGAUCUGACCCCAGAAAGCACUUGCUGGCUCUUUCCCCGCAGCACCCGGCUUCACACUGCAGGGCAGGUCAAGGGGAUGAAGAAGAGCCCAGAAGCUCCAAAGGGCCUCGCUUUAACCUGAUGGGGGGAGAAGGAACAGGGAAUGUCCACCUGCCCACAGGGCAACUUCAGCAUCAGGAGGUCUCCAUAGCAACCCUCCAGCUGGAGUCAUUCAGCCACCUGGAGACCAGACAGGGUGCAGGGGGGCACCACAGGGAUUGAGAUUGUGUGGUGCUGAAGGUAGAGGUACGGGUUCCAGCAAAGAAAGAAAUAACAAAGACCUUCCCAUGGCGGGGAAAAGACUUCCAGAAAGGACUUUCUUCUUGGAGGGAAUGAUAAUUAGUCAUAAGAGCAGCCUUACUGAGCACCUCCAGGCCACACAGUUUUACUGAUUCACACACCAACUCCAGGAGGAAGAUUCAACUACUAGUUUCGCUUUACAGAUGGGGAGACUGAGGCCUCAGAAACAUUAGGAAAGUUGCCUACAUUUGCACAACUGCUAGGCAGCAGGCCCAGAACUCAAACUCAUCUGAUUCCAGAGCCCACUCUCCCACCCUCUUCUGCACGGGGCAGGUCAGCACCCCUUCCGACCUCAUGAUCCUGUUGGCUCCAGAGACUGACUUUGGUCAGCACUCUUUCUAACCUCCACAUCUCCUGGGCUUGAAAGAAACUGGCUUUGGAUCUGUCUCUGUCGGACUCAGGGACAAGCUCAAGCCCGGACACCGUGCUGCACCCAAGCUGGGUAAGAAGACGAACCAUAGGGGUGGUCAGCACUCAUUUUUAGAGAUGGGCAAACUGGUGCAGAGAGGAUUUCUCUGAUUCCCAGAGUCCCACAGCAGAUCCCCUGAACCCCUUCUCACCAAUCUGCCGCCUCCCCUGAGUUAGAGCACAAAAGACAGGGCGGAGCAGACAACUCCACUACCCCCAGCCAUCGAGCCAGGCCCACGUAACACACGGGGUUCAUUCCCCAAAAAAAUCCAAGAUGGAAGCAACUACCCCCACCCUCUAGUUUACAGACAGGAUAGCUGAAGCUCAGAGAUUGAAAGAACUUGUCCAAAGCACACAGCAAAGCACUUUCAUUCUCCAAGGAUUAACAGAUGCCUAUAUGUGUCAGGCCCUGUGCAAGGCUGUGGAGCCCCAGGAGUUAAUGACAAUAUCCUGCCCCCUGCCACCAGAGGGGUGACAAUACCCUGCCCCCUGCCACCACAGGUGAAUAACAAUAUCCACAACUCCUUGCUGUUCCUGUGGGAGGUGAGCAGUAACUCAACUGCCACAUGAAUAAGUCACAAAUGACCAAUGGUGGUGAGCAUUCCAAGGAGGCAGAAGGAACAGGAUGUUAGGAGAAGGAACCACAGUGAAAGCUGCUCCAAGGCACAUGUGAGAGCUCCAUCCUGGAGGGUGAGCUGGGGAGAACAAGGGAGAGUACUGGGAAGCAUCUCCAGCUGCAGGAAUAGAGCGUGCAAAGGCCCCGAGUUGGGCAUGUGAUGGGUGUGUUCCAGAAGGGAGCAGGGCGGCUGGGACGGAGUGAGGUGAAGGGCGGCCGGGGAUGAGAAGCAGGAAAGGGGCAGGUUGUGCUCAGCCUUAUGGACCAUGGGAAGGAAUUUAGAUGUUCCUCUAAGGACUGUGGGAAGCCGCAGUAGAGAUUCAAGUAGGAGAGGGAGUGGAUCUCAUUGGGUUCUGCAAAGUCAGCCUGGCUGAGGCAGGGAGAAGAAAUUCAGAGGCUGUUGGAGUCCUCCAGGAGCAACAGGAUGAUGGCUUAGAAGAGGAUGGGGACCAUGGUGAGCAGUGGGCAAAUCUGAGAUUCACAGAGUCAUAGAUUGACGAAAGGUGUCCAUCUGGCAGCUCUGCAGGGAAGGAAGGGGAGGAGUUAGGAAUGACCCCCCAGGAUGCCUCUCUGAGCAACAGAUGAAUGGAGAGCCCGUCACUGGGACUGGGAGGCUGGGAGCGCAGAUGGGUCUCAAGAGUUGGUGGGGAAGGCUGCUUCCGACAGGCUGUUUGGGUGUGUGAGCGGCAGUGAGUGGAGGGCACCCAGGUCUUCGGAGCACUUGAAACUCCCAAGGUCCCUACCAACCCCCAAAGCCUCCAUGUGCACAAACCCUGGUUCCACCAGGCUGUGCGGCCAGCUGCUCGUCCUCAUCCUGGCUGCAUUGCUGACCUUCCCCUCUCCGGAUCACAUCUCCCCACAGGAGGCAGAGCCCUGGCCUCUGUGUCUCUCAAACAGUGAUCUCCAAAGACAGAAUUUGGGUUUGUUAUAGGAGGGCUGCCACCUGCAGCCCCCUAGGCCAGAGCCCAUGUCACUGACAAUUUCCAAGGCCUUGAAAGGGACCUUUAAUCCAACUGUCUGUGUUGAGCAGGCCAUGGGCAGCCCCUCCUUCCCCUCCACUUUCCUCUCAGCUCUCCCUUCAAAGGCAGCCCCAGGGAGGAGAUGUCCAGCACAGCCUGGCCCUGACAGCGGGACAGGUGCACACCCAGGAGGGUCCGCCAUGAGCCCAGUGAAGGAUACCACCAGCCAGCCCUCAGUGCAGAAGCCUCCCUGUGCCUGGCACAGGGCUGCUAUGGCUGGGGUGGGGGCUACAUCACUCCAAUACCUGCCAGCCACAUUCCACCCUCAGCACAAGGUGCUGUACAGAUGUUACCGCACUCCUGGCAACACAUUUCCCAGAUGGAAAAACCAAGGCUAAUAGACAUGGUCACUCCAUAGAUCCUGGGAGUGGAAGUCCUACCCCGUUCUGCCUCCAAAGGCUGGCCAAGCUUGUCACAUAGCACGUGAAUAAUAACUGUCCUACGUAUCACCUGCUUUCUGUGGCUAGCUACGGAGCUAAGUGUUUCACAGGCAUUCUCAUCUGAUCUACAUGACAGCUUCACGAGCUAAGCACCAUUUUCACUGCCAUUUUACAGAUGAAGAAACAGAGACACAGAGAGGUUAAGGCACUCGCCCAAAGGUCACACAGCUAGUAAGUGGCAGGGCCAGCAUCUGAAUCGGUCCUGGCUAUCUCUGGGGCCAGUACAGUGUAUCUCAGUUCCCAUUAUCUUCCCUCUUCAUACAGAGCCUGUGUAGACCAUAACAUUUUAAUAUCACAGGUAUUCUGUGGAUCUGUUUAUAUACUGGAUGUAUAUCUGUGUUUUAUACUUAAAAAGACUAAGACUCCUUUGCCCCCCAAGAACCAAUUUCUGCCUCCUUGGGGUCAACAUCAUCCCCAUGGAGUCAAGGCCAGUGCUGUGUGACAGGAACAGAAUACAAGCCACACAUGUAAUUUUAAAUGUUCUAGUAGCCACAUUAAAAAACAAAGAAACAGGUGACAUUAAUUUUAACAAUGUUAUUUAAGCCAAUAUAUCCAAAAUACCGACAUUUCAAAAUACUAUCGUUACAUGUGAUUUUUUUAAAUUAUUAAUAAAAAAAAGUUGACAUACUUUUCCUUUUCUACGUUAAGAUUUUGAAAUCCCCUGAGCACUCCCAAUCCAGACCCGCCCUAUUUCAAACGUUCAGUGGCUGCAUCACGACAGAGGCUGCCAUGGUAGGCAGUGCCCGCCCGGCUCCAACCACUCUGCUAAAGCAAUGUUCUGCAUCUUCCCCAAAACUCCUGAAAAUCCACCUAUGCGGGACUUCCUCCAUCCAAGGAACCCCAUCACUCCUAACCAGAGGGUUCCACUUAAUAAGUUCUUGGACCUCCUACAGACAAGACACCAUGCUAAAAAGCUCACAAGAUACAACAAGGAGUAAGAACUGGCCUCUACCCUCAAGCAGCCUACAAUCUAAGUGGGAGGAGAGGAGUGAAAUAAUUACCAACCCUACUGCACACCAGGCUCUGGGGCUUCUCACCCAUUCUCUUAAUCUUCAUACUCAUCCUGGGAUAUGGGUUCUAUUAUUACCAUCCCAUUUUAUUGGUAAGGAAAUUGAGGCUUGACAGACCAUGGAUUUUGCCCAGGGUCUACUUAUUUGACUUGGCCAACCCAGGGCAGAACAAAGAUGUUAGCAAAGCCAUGUGGAAGCUUUUAAGAACAAGGAGGGCAGCUUCAGAGAGGGCUUCAGGGAGGGCGUGAGUGAACUUGGAGGCAGCAUGAAAGGGAAGAAGGAAGCAGAGAGCCAAGGAUAAAGCAGGGGUGUAUGUAUUUGCAGGGAACACAGAAGCAAUAAGUGCAUUUCUCAUGGGCGAAACUGCACAAGCAGAACCUUGGAAGCAGGAAAAGGGGCCAGAAUUCUGGGCGCUAAAACGCUGUAGCAUGAAGCUGGUGCACAGCGCAUGGUAUGAGGAUAGUCCAAGUUCAAUCACCCAGACAUGGGAAAGCAUCCACUGCCCAACCCAUAGACUAUAAUGUCAGCGGAAUCUGACUUCCCAAAAUAUUUAUCAGAAGGCGCUGGGCACCAGAUUCCAUUCUGUAAACCUGGAUGCUGUUCCAAAGCUGAGAUGAUAGAUCUCCCAGAGAACCAGAUAAACUCUCCCUCACAUUCUAAAUAAUGAAGGGAAGGUGGGGAAGAGAAGGAGACAAAUCAACCUUCUCCAACUGCCCAACUUAAAGGGAUUAUGGUCAGAAGCAAGACGGGAGCAAGGGAGCCAUCUCCUUAUCAGGCACACGGCUGCUCCAGACACAGACAAAACUUCUAGCAUGCAUCCUUCUUCCACAUUGGGGGAGAGAAGCACCCAGUCCUAACACACAAAGGUCAGUCCCAUCCUCUGGGGGGGCAGAAUUUCAAGCCAAUCUGUUUCCCCCUAAUUUCCAAGAAAGAACAGUCCCUUCCAUGUACAGAGGUGCUGACUGGAGCUCAAAGAAUGAGGCCCAUAAAUCUCCAACCUGCUAAGGAGGCCCAGAUUUCAAACCUCCCAGUGCGCCGGCCCACUGCACUCAAAGGCACAAGCAAAGGAAGCUGUGGGAUGAGUAGAUUCAGGAAUGUGGAUGAAGGAAGACCCCCCUCUCUCGCUGCCAACGAUCACCAUAGACAUUAUGGACUGAAUAAAUGAGGAAGCGCUUGACACAGAUGCUCUCACUUAAUUCUCCUGAAAGCCCAUGAGGCAGGUCCUGCUGUUAUCCCCAGUUUACAACAAGAAAUGACAGAAUCACAUGGCUGGGAAAUGGCAGCACCAGCUCUAACCUGGACUUCCUGUGUCUCCAGCUGGGGCCCCCCAUAGGCUGGCCUACCACUCUCAGUUUCUUCCCCUCUCUGAUAUGCGGUCCUGGUUUCAAGCCCAGUGCUAACCACGUCUCUUCCCUGUUCAACACCCUUAGGCUUCCGUGUGCUUGCAAAAUAAGCCCCAAAUCCCCAGAGAUGGUUAAGAAAAGGUAGGCGGGUGCUCAGGGGCCCCCCAGGCCUUCGCAAGCCAAUUCAUGUCACCCACUCCCAACUCCAAAAAAAUGCAGCCCACCCCCUCAAAGGGCCCAUCCAAGAAGCGGGCUUUCUGGCAUCAUAUUUUCCUCCCACAGAACGUGAGAAUAAAGGGCUCUUUGCUUGUCUCCUGAAAUAACUGGCUCUCGCCAUAAAGCAAUCUUCUGCCCAGUAAAAAUAUUUCUGUAAAACUUGGUAACUCUAUCUGCGGUUCCUUUUCUGAAAGUCAAAAAUCUUGGGGAGUGAAAUAUGGCAGAGGCCAGUUUUAUGACAAGCUCAUGAAGUCAUGUCUACCCGAGACAGGCCCUCCUUAACACUGUGAUUAAUUUGCUGUUAACCACAGGGACUUUGUGUCUUAAUAUACUCAAAGCAAAGCACCAGUUCACAUUUCUACCAGAACAAUACCCACCACCCCAGACCUGGUGUCCAGCCAGGCAGGUAGCGGAGCCAUGGCUGGGAUCUGGGGCCAGAAAGGACUCAGUUGAGAUCGGGGACUCUGCCAAAGGGCCAUAACACACAAGGGAGCUGUCACCUGUGGCCUGUCCUUGGCCAAGGAGGAGGUACAGCUUAUAAAAUAAGUGAGGGGUGUCCCGAGAUCAGAGUGUAAAAGGCACUCACAGCUAAACCAAACUAACUCCAAGACACCUAGAGAAGCCCCUGAAACCUCCCUAGGGCUGGGUUUUCCCAUCUAUAAAUGGGGAGCAAUCAUCUCAGGGGAACUCCUGAGCAAUCAAAUGUGAUGUCCCCUCUCAACAUCUUCUUCUGACAAACGGCAAUCACGCCCCUUCCAGGUGCUAUUUUCGGCCCCAAAGAAAUGGAGACCGGUUUACUGGGAAUCUUUCAGAACACAGCAGCAGAUCCAGAGGCCUUAAAGGGCUACUGAGUACAUCUGCUGGGUGCUCACUGCAUGCUAACACUUCAGUGGCCAUAUGCAUUACUUCAUCAUUUAAUCUUUGAAACAACUCCAAACGGUGGGCAUUCUGUUCCUCUUUUUAUAGGUAAGAAAACUAAGGCCCAGCGUCAACACGGUUCAGUAUAAACCCAAGUCUGAAGCCUGGUCCUAAGCUCUAUGCACCCCUCAAAUUGGGAGAUCACAUAGGGAAAAAGGAGUGAAGUAAUGCAAUUAAGUCUUAAAAAAAAAGGGGGGGGGCCAUAAAAACUAAAACAGGAGUUCCUAACCUGGGGCCAUAGGUGCCCUGAAAUUGGAAUGACGGAUGUAAGAGCAUUUAUCUAAGGAGAGAGACACAAGAGAUUUGGUGGAUUCCCAAAAGUGUCUUGUUACUCACUCCUUGAGGGUUAAAAAUCAUCAACCUAUGAUCAUCAUAGAGAGGUCAGAAGCUUGAAAGGAAGGCUGUAACCCAGGUGGGCUGCAUGGAGGAGGUGGCAAACCACCUAGGUUCUUCCAAGAUCCAAUGGCAAUGGGUGGGUCAAUGGUCAGCUACCUAGCUGCCCUGUCCUUACCCAGCCUUGCCAGCUGCUGACCAGAGCCUUGUUCAGUGAUUCUGAUUCCAGGGACCAGGCCAUCCACAGCUGUUGGCUCCACCCAUACAGUGUGCUUUCUACAGCCUUCUCCUCUCAAGUCAGUUUCUCAUUAGGGAGGUUCAAGGGAUGCGGGGACGGGGGUGAUCCCAGCCUCCACUCCAGGACAGGCAUGUGACCCAGGACUGUCAGAGGCACAGGGAUGGGUUCCGGGAUGUGACCCAAGUCAAAACAAUGGGAGCUCCGCCUGGGUUUUUGCUGGAACUUUCUUCUCUAACAACUGAAGCUGGGAGUCUGGACUGCUGGGAGCCAAGUUGCCAUUACCUGGGAAGGGUGUGCCUAAGGAUGAAGCCAAUCUAAAAGAAAGCAGAGAUGAAGACACAGAUUGCUGUCCUGGGACAUAGUUUGGGCUGGUGGAUCCAGCUGUAACUGAAGUCCACUCCCUGGUUACACAAGCCAAGAACUUGACUGUAUGAAACAGUUGACAAGGGCUUGAAAUCCAAAAGGUCCCAACGGAUCCACAGAGAAAGUUCACACCUACUUAACCACAAGCUCCCCCUGAAGCUGCUUUCCUCCUCGAUUUUGUAGACACCAGCCAGAAGGAAAAACUCCAGCUUUGCCAGAAAAAUAGCAGAGCCACACCUGGUGAUCAUAUCAGGAUGUGCAGUGUGUGUCGGGGGCACAGGGCAAGGGGUGGAAGCAGAAAUGCACACUGUUGCUCUAAAGUCGACCACAGGCAGAAGCCCACAAAUGAUCUAAAUGCCCAGUAGUAAGGAAUCAAUGCAAUGAUGGUCUAUCCUUAUAACAGAAGGCUUGAUAGCCAUGAAGAACAAUAAGAUUAUACAUUCUGAUAUGAAAUGAUUUCCAAGAUAAGUUUAAAAAGUUAUGUAUUAAGAAAGCAAGGUGCGGAGACAGAUGUAUACAUGAAUCUUAAGUUAAAAGAAAAUCUUAAGUUAAGGUCUGUAUCACUUUUCAUUGUAGUUGCUGAGAGACAUGGUCUCGCUCUGUCGCUCAGGCUGAAGUGCAGUGGUGCAAACAUGGCUCACUGCAGCCUCGAACUCCUGGCCCCAAACCAUCCUCCCGCCUCAGCCUCCUAAGUAGCUGGGACUACAGGCACACAUCACAAACCUGGCUAGUUUUUUGUUGUUACUGUUGUUAUUUUAAGAGAUGGGGUCCUGCUACAUUGCCCAGGCUGGUCUCAAACUCCUGGGCUCAAGCAAUCCUCCCACUCUGGCCUCCCAAAGUGCUGUGAUUACAAGCAUGAGCCACUGCACCUGGCUUCUAUAUCACCUUUUUUUUUUUUUUGAGACGGAGUCUCACUCUGUUGCCCAGACUGGAGUGCAGUGGUGCAAUCUCAGCUCACUGCAAGCUCUGCCUCCCGUGUUCACACCAUUCUCCUGCCUCGGCCUCCUGAGUAGCUGGGACUACAGGCCCACACCUGGGUAAUUUUUUGUAUUUUUAGUGAAGGAAACACGGGGUUUCACCAUGUUAGCCAGGAUAGUCUCGAUCUCCUGACCUUGUGAUCCGCCCACCUUGGCCUCCCAAAGUGCUGGGAUUACAGGCAUGAGCCACCACACCCAGCCUCUAUAUCACUUUUUUAUGGUUCUCCACCUUAAAUGAAUUUUUCAAUUAACCUGCAAAUACCAAUGCUUCCUGGUCUUGUUGGCCAAGACAGCUUCUGCUGUCUGUGCAGGGAUAAGCAUGCACAAACAGAGCAUGGCUAGAAGUAUCUUGAGGAGCCCACUACAGCAGAUACCUCCAAAGGGGGAAGCUGGGAGGUGGAGGUGGGCGGAGGCUUCCUGUGUACUGCAUACCUUCAGUACUAUUUUGGAUUUUCUUUUCUUUUUUUUUUAACCAUGCGUACGACUUAAUUUACAGAAAGGAAAAAGGUGAGGACCCUUUCUGAAGGGCAGAGGCUCUCUUCAAAGACACAGAACAGCCUGGCUCCAUAAAAGAGGUGGGGACUUGGACAGAACAGAACAGAAUCCCUGCCUCUCUGGCUGUGUGCCCUCUGGCCAAGCUGCAUGGCCCCUCUGAACCUCAUCCACCUGGAAAAUGUUCUUGAGGAUCUGCCAUGUGCCAAUCAGUGCAAAAGGCCCAGGGAUACAAGAGUGAGCCACAAAGAACCUGACCUGUGGACUUUACAGUCUGGCCUCAGUUUCCCCAUAAUAAUAAUUUUGAUCCUGGCCACAUUUUUGUGAAUAUUAAAUGCCUGACAAAGCCCUGUGAGGAAGGCUUUGCAAGCCAUAAAGCCCUGGGUAAAUCCUGGCUGGAAAACAGCCACCCACUCAAUGCUGCUGCCUCCAACUCAGCAGGGAGUUUACCUUCCAGUGCCCCAGACCCAGAGCCAAGAGGACGAGACGCCAGUAGCAGCUGCUGAGCAGAACCUCCAAGGUUAAGAAGGCUAGAAAGGCCCCGAUUUGUGACAUCACAAGAAGGUGCUCUGAUCCAACCAUCUAGAAGGAAGACCAUGAUCAUUCCCCACCAUGGCCAUGGCUGCGGCCAGCCAGGGCUAACCAAGCCUGAACACAGCUAUGUUACAAGGAAGGGGGCUCUGGACAGGCCCCAAAGACGGUUAACCAGUACUUCCUGUGGGGGAGAGCUUUCUUUCCAUGACCACCUGCUGUGAAUCACUCCUUUGCACUCCUUUGACGCCUCCCUGCCCACUGAGGAUGGAGUUUAGCCUGACACACAGGGUCUUCUCCAUGCAUCCAGGGCUGUGCCCACUGAGGAUGGAGUUUAGCCUGACACACAGGGUCUUCUCCAUGCAUCCAGGGCUGUGCCCACUGAGGAUGGAGUUUAGCCUGACACACAGGGUCUUCUCCAUGAAUCCAGGGCUGUGCCCACUGAGGAUGGAGUUUAGCCUGACACACAGGGUCUUCUCCAUGCAUCCAGGGCUGUGCCCACUGAGGAUGGAGCUUAGCCUGACACACAGGGUCUUCUCCAUGCAUCCAGGGCUGUGCCCACUGAGGAUGGAGUUUAGCCUGACACACAGGGUCUUCUCCAUGCAUCCAGGGCUUGCCCACUGAGGAUGGAGUUUAGCCUGACACACAGGGUCUUCUCCAUGCAUCCAGGGCUGUGCCCACUGAGGAUGGAGUUUAGCCUGACACACAGGGUCUUCUCCAUGGGUCCAGGGCUGUGCCCAUUGAGGAUGGAGUUUAGCCUGACACACAAGGUCUUCUCCAUGGGUCCAGGGCUGCGCCCACUGAGGAUGGAGUUUAGCCUGACACACAGGGUCUUCUCCAUGGGUCCAGGGCUGUGCCCACUGAGGAUGGAGUUUAGCCUGACACACAGGGUCUUCUCCAUGCAUCUAGGGCUGUGCCCAUUGAGGAUGGAGUUUAGCCUGACACACAGGGUCUUCUCCAUGGGUCCAGGACUGUGCCCACUGAGGAUGGAGUUUAGCCUGACACACAGGAUCUUCUCCAUGCGUCCAGGGCUGUGCUGUCCAAUGAGGUAGCCACUAGCCUCAUGGGGCUAUUUAAGUUCACAUUUAAAUUCAUUCAAAUAAAAUAUAUCUUAAAAUUUAGGCAGUCUCUGAGUCCCAGUGGUCACAUUCUAAGCCACAGGUUCCCAGAGGGGACAAUGCAGACACAGAACAUUUCCAUCAUCAGAAAGUUCUACUGGUCAGCACAGUCUAGAGGUCACUUCUACAGCCCCUUCUUCUACCCAUUCUACGGCGGGGGGGGGGGGUGGUGGUGGGACCUAGCAGCCCUUUCAAGAGAGGCAGGUGUCAGUGACUGCCAGGGUAGCUCUAAAUCCGCUUGCAAGUUUAAGCAGCCACAGUUAUGGGGAUGUGGGAAGAGGAGAGAGAACCAUGGAGCGAGAGCUUGUCAUGAGUGAGGGCCUGCACUGGCUUCUCUGUAGGGUCGCUCAUUAGGUCCCGCUACACUACAAAUGGGGAGUGCCCUCCUCCCCCCUCAUCCCUCUCCAACUCCUGCACCCUCCUCUCUCCUUUCCUUCAGGGUCCAGUCGGCCCAGCUGUUGCCUAGUACAGAAAGGUUCUGACUCAGGCUCAGGAAACCCCAAGGAGUCUACAUUUUGAAUAGCACCCAAGAGAUUCAGAUGUAGGUGGUCCUCGGCCGCAUCGAGUCUCCCCAACUCCACACCCUCUGGCUGCUGUCUUCUCUCUCCACUCCUUCUGAUAAAGCUUCUCCAUACAGUUGCCUACACAUGCUGUUUCCUCAUCUGUCAUUCACUUUUAAAAUACAUCACCUUUUUGAAAAAUACAAAAAGUAGCACAUGCUCAUUUUUUGUAAAAUCAAACAACCUAAAAAUGUACAAAAUGAAAAGCAAAAUUCUCCAUUCCUCAGGGAAAUAGUCCUUGACAGUGUACCCUUCCAGAUCUUUCUCUAUGCACCUGCAGAUACACAGUGACACAGGCCUGAAUAGACUUUUUCACACUGUAAGAAACAGGACCAUGGCCUAUGAAUGUUUUGCAGUUGCUUUGCUCAUUCAGCAGCGUCUCAGGGUCUCUUUCCUGUCAGCAAGAGAGGCCCUUACUCGCUGGGCUUUGACCAGUUGCAGAGAGCUCAAUGAGAAGUCCACACCACUGUUACCUUGUACCCUAGUGAUGGAUGUUUGAGUUGUCAAAAACUUUUCAUUCUUCCAAAUGCAGCCAUGAAUGUUCUUGUAAGUAUGUGCUUCUGCUCCCCUGCACAUAUUUCUUAGUCCCUUCGUGAGCCACCCAAGUCUCACCUCUGCUGUCACUUCACCAAGACAGUUCCUGCCAGACCCAACUGUGACCGCCAGGAUCCUAAACCCAAGGGACACGUCUCAGUCCUUUUCUAUAACUCCACUCUCUCUGCAAGAGACCACCUACUCUCCGGUAGACUGUGUGGAUGGCCCCCAGUGAAUCCCACUUCCCAGUAUUUAUGCCCCUGUGUAGUUCCUUCCCCUAAAUCUAGGCUGGACCUGUGACUUGCUUUAAUGAAGAGAAUGUGUUGUUGCUAAUUCCAGGCCUAAACCUUAAAGAGUCCUGGCCGUUUUUGCUUCUAUACUCUUGGGAAAGACAGCCACCAUGUAAAUCUGAUUACCCUGAGACUGCCAUACUGUGAGGAAGCCCAAGCUACUCAUGAGGUGAGGCCAACUAGAAGAGAACUGAAGCCCCAGACAUGUCACUUAUUUGGAGCUGCUGCAGUCAGACCCUUGCUGUUAGAGCCACCCUAACUGUGCUACAUGGAGCCACAGACAAGUUGACCCUCCCAGGCUUGGUCCAAAGUGCAUACUCUUAAGCAAGUCACAAAGUGAUCAAGUCACUAAUCUUUGGACUUUUUUUUUUUUUUUACAGCAGUAGAAACAAAGCCUUCUCCUUUCCUUUAAUGCAUUUUUGAGAGGAGGAAGCAGAAGGCAGGAGAGGUCAUAAUAGAUACCUCAUAGCUAAGCUGGAGGCACCCCCAGGCUCAGGGUUCCCAGCGCAGCAUUGUGUCCAACCCCUGAUGACUGAGCCAUGUCUGUGUUUCUCCUGGGAUGAAGCUGCUGCUGUUGGCUUCUCAGGGGAGAAGCCAUGGGCCCCCCCUCCAUGGGACUGCUCAUCCUCUUCAUUCCCUAAGCAAAGGGAGUGAGCCAGCAGCAAGCACCCACAGCAUCCCUGGGAGCACUGACCCAGGCCCAAAAGUCAACAAACCAAACAGCUCAGAAAGCACAGAGAGGUCAGGAAAGUUGCCCUAGGUCACACUGCUAGUGAGAAGUAGAGCCAGGGCUCAAAACCAGGCAUUCAGGCUCAGGGCCUGCACCAGUGACCCACACCAGCGUUUUUCUAAUACUCUGAUUAUGACCUAUAGUAAGAAUUAUAUUUUACAAUAUGCCUCUGCUGUAGAUAGAUAGAUAGAUAGAUAGAUAGAUAGAUAGAUAGAUGGGUUUGGGUAUAGGUGUGUGUAAAGUGUGUGUAUACAUUUUUUUUAACUAGAACAAAAAAUUACACAAAACAAUAUUUACUCUUACUAUAUAUAAUGUUUUCUCAUAUUUUUACUCUAUUUCAUUUUGGUCACUAAAUUGAUGUCAUGAACCAUGAAUGGGGCUGAGACAUACAGUUGAAAAAAAAAAAAAAACUCGCCUAAACUGAUUUAAGAUGGCUCUAAAAUCACACUGAGUGAUCUGAAUUUGAAUCUUGCUGAAGCAAGAUUCCACUUCCAAGUUAAGUGACCUUGGGCAAUAUGGUUGACUUCUUUAAAGCCUCAGUUUCCCUAUGGGUAAGAUGGGCAUAAUAAUAACAGCGGCCUCAUAACAGUGCUCUGAGAAUCCAGCACUAUGAACAGUGCUUGGCCCAGAGCCUGGCACACAGCAGACACGCAGCAAGCAGCAGCUACGCUGUUACCACCUCCUCCUCGGGCUGCAGCUCCCAGACUCAGCACGGGGCUAUGCACACAGUGGGCAGCUCGCGGGCACACUGAGCCUGCAGCCACUGAGAAAGCAGGCACGUGCCCAGGACCAGCUGAGGCAGUGGGUGCCUUUGGACUUUCCAGGGCAGGGAGGAAGCAGAGAAAGUCCCCAGUGCCCGCUGAAAAGGCAACUUUGUUCCUGGAUUAUAGUAGUUCUCUUCAAUCAUCUUUUUGCCUUUGAAGGGGGAAAGAAGGGUAAAACAACAAAGUCAGGGUCAAAAACUGUCCUGGAACAAGGCUCCCUCUGGAAACCAGGCAUGGAAUGGGCAUGGCACCACACACCAGCACCCCCAAACCCACUCACUGGAGCCACCGCAAGCCGAGGCCUCUGAGUGAGGGGCCCACCAGCCCACGCAGCCUUCUGAAGUUAGAAAAACAUCCUCCGGCCUGAGCCCAUUAGGGAGGCUGUGGCCUGAGGGAAGACAGCCCCAUCCUGCUAACAGGGUCCUUUUAUGCUCUGCCUCUCCCCUCCUCAGGACCCCAGCUCUAUGCUCAAGGCCAGAAGGCUUGGGCAGCCCAGCAGGCCAGCCAAUCCGCUCCAGGGUGACACUAUUUCUUGUGACUGAGAGGUUCUCCUCCCUACCUCUUCCAACCUGACCAGAAAGCUGGAGUCCACAGACACCAGUAACACUUCAUGGAAGACUUGCGGCAAGGAGACAAGGCCUCAUGACGGGAUGCAACAUACAGUGGUACCACCCAGCCCAGCAGGCACUGCCCACUCCCUGCUGCUGCACCACAUAGUUCUGCUCUAACACCUCAGAGACUGGAAUGUGGUUCCAAGUCAGACACCGAGAAGGAGGCUGAACACUUUCUCUGUGCACCAACCCUGCAUGCCUCUUGCCCUUUGCACAUCCCGUGCCUUCUGCCUGGAAUAUUUUUAAUAAACCUUUCCCCACCUAGCUAUUUCCUAUUUAUUCUUUGGGUCUUAACGACUUACGCAUCACUCCCUAAUCUGAAGUAGAAUCCUCCGUUAUUCUCCUUCCCCAUCCUUUUCCUUCACUGCACUUAGCACACUGGUACCACACUGAGCACACAUCCAGGUGAUCACUAGCAAACAACACUGGCAAGCUGCAAAAGAAGGGGUGACAUCUCCUUUAUUCUUUAACUUGCUGAAAUGAACCCAUUUCUACCCUUAAAACAACCCAAUGAGGUAGGAACCAUUACUCUACCCAUUCCACAGAUGUGAAAACUGAGAAUCAGAGAUGAGCCAUCACUUGGCCCAAGGCCACCGAGCUGGGGAGAAGUGCAGCUGGGACUCAGACCCAGGAAGUCUGAUUCUGCAAGUUCUAAGCACACCUCUGGCACCUUCUAUGGGCACAUGCUGGUCUUCAGCAUAAAGUCUCCCAGCCCACAUCUUUGUUUUGUUGUUUGUUUGUUUGUUUGUUUGUUUGAGACAGAGUUUCACUCUUGUCACCCAGGCUGGAGUGCAAUGGCACGAUCUUGGCUCACUGCAACCUCCAUCUCCCGGGUUCAAGGAAUUCUCCUGCUUCAGCCUCCCAAGUAGCUGGGAUUACAGGUGCCUGCCACCAUGCCCGGCUAUUUUUUUUUUCUUUCUUUUCUUUCUUUUUUUUUUUUUUUUUGUAUUUUUAGCAGAGACGGGGUUUCGUCAUGUUGGCCAGGCUGGUCUCAAACUCCUGACCUCAGGUGAUCCACCAACCUCGGCCUCCACCAACCUCGGCCUCCCAUCCCAGCCCACAUCUUUACUUACCCUUCCUGUGCCUCCCACAUUGCUCUCCCACCAGACUGAAAUACACUGUGCACAGCUUCCUGGCAAUGAGCCUUUGCUUGGCCUGCACUCUCUGCCUUGGAUGCAGCCUGCAUCCAGCUCUCCCUGGCUGGGCUAGUGACUCUAAUUUGCUGGGCCUGCCUCCUCAUCUAUGCGAUAGCGGAAUAAUACCUAAGGCAGUUGUGAGGAUUCUACAAGAGAAUGCAUGGAAAGUAUUAGGCACAAUGUUGAGUCCAUAUGAUACUCACUCGUGUGUCCUUUUAUCACUAACAUACUGCUUCUCUACCACCACCACCAUCAGAAUCUUAAAGGUCUAAAUCAGCAAACACAAGCCAGUGUACUAACAGGCCAAAUCCAGUCGUCUGAGUCACCCAAAGAAGGUGUUUUCUAAAAAUUUUAAUUGGUUAACAAUAAUUUUUUAAAUUGGAAAAGUUUCACAUAAAAAUUCAGACAGCUGGAUUUUCUUAAUGAUCAGCCCGUGUGGCAACACCAGGGCCAUAUUCCCACAUGGCAGUGAUUGGCUGGGGUUGAGUGGCACUGCCCCCUUGAGGCAGGGUGUGUGUUCCCCGGGGGCACCCCGGUUCCCACCCCUCUCAGAUGUCUCCCACUGAGCCUGUGGCAUUCAUUCAUAUGACCUCUCUGGCCCCUGUAGGUCCUUAAGUUUCUAACCCCUGAUCUCAGUCUUACCAUUCUUCAAAUCCCUACUCACAUGCCCACUUCCUUCAAAAAAACCCUCCCCAACCUCCACAGCCCUGUGCUUCCCUUAUGGUUUUAUAACUUUAACAGUUAACUUGCACUGAGUACUUCAUGCAAAGAUCCAAAGUAAAAUAUUAGCCUAUCAAAUGCGGUCACAUUUAAAAGAAUAAUCUAUCAUGACAAAGAAUUUCGGAGGGCCAAGAAGGUUGCACUAGGAAAUCCAGCAAUGUAAAUCAAGCAUACAAAUCACACACCACAUUAGCAAAGAAUGAUGCAUUCCAUCUGCAUCCCAACAGCAUGUGACAAAAUUCAAUAAUUAUUCCUGAUUUUACAAAGCUCAGAAAGCCAGGAGUUGAAGGAAGCUUUCUUAAACAAAAAGUAUCAUACUUGGUAGUUAUUAAACAGAGUAUGAGAUUCUAACCAAUGCAAUGAGAUUCUAACCAAUGCAAUAAGAGAAGAAAAAUCGAUGAAAGGCCAUGGGGAGAGCUUAGUUCCACUCUCACAGAGGCAAGAACUAUGUCCUAGUCCUCACAAUUUCCACAACACCCUAAGCACAGCACGUGGGAUAGAUAAAGCAGUCAAAUAUUUGUGGAAUGAAAAACACCCCAGAUGAGUUCUGAUCCCUGGUACAUGUUCUCAAAACAUCCAGUACUUUUUGGAGGCACAUAUCACAACUUAAAUUGCACAACUUGUUUAUGAAAAUAUUUCUGUUUUCCUACAAGAUGGUAAGUUCCAUGAAAUCAAGGCCUUCACUCUAGGUACCAAGCACAGGUGUCCCUGGCCUAAAGCAGGUACUCAAUGCCCACUCCAAGAGACAUGAGGGCCUACUGGAGGGUGCAGGGUGGGAGGAGGCUGAAGAUCUAAAACUACCUGUUGGGUACUGUGCUUAUUACCUGGGGGAUGAAAUAACCUGCACACGAAACUCCCAUGACACACAAUUUACCUGUAGAACAAACCUGUACAUGUACCUUGAACCUAAAAUAAAAGUUAAAAAAUAUAUAUAAGGCUGGGCACAGUGGUUCACGCCUGCAAUCCCAGCACUUUGGGAGGCCAAGGCAGGAGGAUCAUUUGAGGCCAGGAGUUUAAGGCCAGCCUGGGCAACACAGUGAGUCCCUGUCUCUAAAUUUAAAAAAAAAAAAAAAAAAAAAACCCUACUGCAGAUGCAUGAAUGAAUGCACUCAAUAGAUAGUGCUAAAUUAUCAUGAUGUUAUUCUACUUCUCAGCUGGAGAAUCUGAAGCCCAGGCAGGGAGCCUUUGGCUGAGGCCACACCAAUGUGAAGCCCUCUCAGUACCCUGGUGUCCUCUGAAAGGCGUCGGCCACACGCACACGCCACAGCCCAUGUGACUUAACAAGUAAGGAAAGCAAAGCCCAGACCCAUGCCUCAGAGCCCUCUAAACAAACACAUCCAGGACCCACCCCGGCGGGCCAAGCCGCCACCGCUCUGAGGCUGGGGAUGACUUCAGUGCGGAGACCUGAGGCUUUCCUCCCAGAGCCCCACGACUGGUGCCCACAAGGCUAAACAGCUCCCUUCUGCCUUCCCAGGAAGCUAUCAAAGAAUUACUUAUGUCUCUGGAAGUGCUUGUUUAGAAAAGGUUCUCCACCCCACCUGGGCUUGGCAGGAGCGCAGCAUCACCAGGCUGCCCUUCGGAGCUGCUCAGGCUUGCCUCCAGCCCCUGGAGGAGCUCAGCCAUCUUUCACACAGAGAGUCGAAGCCAUGAAGCAGCGGGAAGCUUCCCAGGAUAAACGGAGCAGGGUGACAUCAAAGUCCUCCUUCCAGAUUAAACAACUGAGGCCUUCAACUCUCGCUUGCGUUCCUUCCAGGAUAUUCUGGGCUCCUGCCUCAGUUCUCCCUCCGAUGGAAUGGCAGAUAUUUUGUUUGUGAGAGACUGAAUUUUUUCCUUCCUCAGGGAGAGGGUGGGGGGGAAGGGACGUGGGGAGGGAGAGGAAGAGAAAGAACGUCUGUGAGAGACAAGAGCGGCAAAAAGAACACGUGUGAGUGGGCAAGAGAGAGGGAAGGCAGGGAGGCAGCCAGAAGUGCCUGGUUUGGAAUCCAACAAGUGAUGUGAAAAGUCCAAAAGUGUCUAAAUCCAAGCAUCUUGUGAUUCGCAGCCAUGGGGCUGCAGGACCCCCCAGCUCACCAGUACCGGGGGGCUGCACAUCCUGUCUCGGACAGCCCUGCUCAGCCCACAUGGGGGACCCUCCUUCCAUAGGCACAGGCGCGCUGCAGUUCUGGGGCAUGAUUAGCUCUCUCUGGGGUUUGCUGGUCACUCCCUCUUGUUCCCUGGUCCCUGAAGAGCCUCCUUCUUGAGCAGCAACCUCACCCCACAGGUCCUCCGCAGCCCUGACAGCUAAGCUUCCAGCCCUGCAGCUGACCUCCUCCCCCAACACAACAGCAGGGCCACCAACCCCAACAGGCCAGGUUGAGCCCCCAAGGACCUGUCCAUGACACAGGGGCAGCACGCUCGCUGACUGCCCGCCCUGCUCCACCCAACAUACCUGUCCAGGGGGACAGACAGGUAACUCAGAUGUGCCAAGAGCCACCAAUGCACGAGGCUUUCCACAGACAGUGCCAGGAACCACUUCCAGUUCCCACAGGCUGCAGAGCCAUUUGGAGGCCACAUUCCCUUCUUGAUUACCCGCUUGAUUCCACACAGAAGCCUCCCGGCAAUCCCCAACCCCAUCCUACCAGGGCAGCUUGAGCCUGGGGCCUCGGUCAGCUCUUCCCCCCACCUCCAACUCCUUCCUCCUCUCUCCUCAGCCUCAGCGGCCCAUCCUGCCCCCUCCCUCCCAGAGUGCCUCUGUGUGGUCCUAGGAGUGGGCCUGGGUACUCACUGCUGCUUUGUCCCCUUCAUCAGACUGGAUGCCACAGGAGGGCAGGAACCACAUCUCUCUUAUUCUCCACUGUAUCCCCAGAGCCUGGCCCAGUUAGGGACUUAUUAAUUCAUAAUUAAUAACAAGGCCAAGUGUGGUGGCUCACAUGUGUAAUCCUAGCACUUUGGGAGGCUGAUGUGGGAGGAUGGUUUGAGGCCAGGAGUUCAAUCCAGCCUGGGCAACAAAGCAAGACCCGAUCUCUAUAAAAAAUAAAAAUGAAUUAGCCGGACACAGUGGCGUGCACCUAUAGUCCCAGCUACUCAGGAGGCUGAGGCAGGAGGAUCACUGUGAGGCCACAGUGAGCUAUGACGCCACUGCACCCCAGCCUGGGUGGCAGAGUGAAACUAUGUGUCUAAAAAAUAAUAAUAAUAAACAAAGAAUUAUUGAUAAUAAUUUAUACUAAUUCAUUAAGCUGAGUGCCUAAAAGAAAAAGCCUGGUUCCACCCUUCCACUCCAGACAGAAGGACCUGGGAAAAGAUGGAAUUUGGAAGCAGGAAUUAAAGGAAAGAAGCUGACCAGGGAAGAGGAGCUGGGGAAAAAGGAGGCAGGGAGGGUGACCUAAUCUAUCUUCAUUUCUUUCUUCUUUUUUUGCUGCUGACAGUUCAGCCUUGAUGUUUCCUGCCCUCGCGGGGACAGUUUGAUCCCAGAGUGUACCUGAGCUUCCUGGUACAAACAACAACACUGUCCAUCGAUCCAUCCAUCCCCACCUUCCAACAUCCCCACUGGGCGAGCAGAGGAAACAUCCCCUGAGUUCUAGGACCUUGCAGGACCCACAGCAGGUGCCUCCUGGAUUUGAUUUCCCCCAGGUUUCCUACAAAAAUGUGAAUGAAGAGGGUGCUCUUGGGCUCUAGAGAACAGAAGGCAUGCACAGUCUGGCUCAGGGGCAUCCAGCCUCCUUCCCCAAGAAGAAAAGUCUCAAAGUGAGGACAAGACACUCCUCGAAGCCUCUACCGGAGACCACAUCACAAAGACCCAUUAAAGCGCUAAGAAGAUGACACCCAUGGCCGCCACCCACCCAUCCUGAGGGACCUAUGGAAAACCAGAAGGUCCCCCCACUCCCCAGCACUCUGCCCAGCCCAAGCUCUCCCAGCCUCUGCCUCCCAUCCCCCAGGAGGAAAGACAGUGCCCAGGCUGGGCCAGGCAGCUGGCCCUGGUGCCCAUGAGCAGAGGGGACCCUCCCUGGAGAACUCGAAAAUGCCAGUGAACAAGGCCCAAACACCUCCAUCCUGAGUCCUUCUCCAGCCUUAAAGCAAAUCAUCUUUUAAUCCUGAAACACCAAAUAUUUAAUUUAUGCUCUACCUCAAAUGUCAAGCCCACCUCCCAUCACAUAGCUUUGAAACCACGUAAAGAAGCCUAACACUUUCCAUAUGGCAAAGACAUGGGGCCUUUUAAUUGUGCCAACUGGUAUCAUUCAAGGGUAAUUCCCUUGGAAUCUGGCACUCGGGCAACAGCUGGGCCAGCCUCCAAUCUCAUCACCCAACCCCACACGUCCCCAUGGGCUCCAAGUAAGCCUGCACCCUCCUCAUCUUCUCCAAAUAUCAAAGUGCACUAGGUACCCCCAGUCAAAUUACCAAACUGCCUGGCAGCCGCCUUUGAUCCAGAGGCGGGCUUGCCUGCACCACGGCUCUCAGCCUAUUUCUUCAGGCAGCUCUGCUGUAAAGGAACAAAAGGGCCAACCGGGGCCAUGGGGAGAUUAUUUUAAAUCUGGUUGUACAUAUUCACAAUCAGCCUGUGAGCAUAUACAGAGGCACACAGGUCUUCACCAAGUGUUUCCCACCUGAUACCUGAGUCCACUGCACUAUUUAAUCUAUCUAUUAAGCUUUUUCACUUGUCCAUUCUAUUUUCCACACCCAGUGUUUCCAAUUGGUUUUCUUCUCUAACUGCCUGUUGCUGCUUCAUGUUUCCAGCAUCCUCCGUUUCUCUCUGAGUUUAUGAUGCUUAUUUUGCUUUCUAAUUGUUUAACAUGGUGUUCUUUGCCGCGUGUGCUGAUCAGUUUAUUGCUCCUCUUCCACAGUACUCGUGCGCCUCCCAUUUCUCAUUCCUUUUCUCCUAUGAGUCCAUAUUCCCUUGGACUUGCUCAUGUCCCCAUGGAAAGGGCAAAAGCCCAGCCCUUGGCCUGCGUCCCUCCAAGUGAGCCUGCCAUGACAGUGGGGGAGGCAGAGAGCCUCUAGCAUUCUUAUCCCAGCCCUAUCACUCCCUGUUUGUAGGCCCCCAUCUCCAACCCUACAAAUGUCUUCAGUGAAUCUCCCAGUAGGUUCCCUUCCUUCCCAGGUUCAACAGUUAUAAUCCCAUCAUAACCCGCCAGGGAUGAAAAUAUUAUUACACCCAUUUUGCAGAUGAGCUAAUUAAGGUAUACAAGGGCAAAAUGGUUUGCACAGGUGACAAAUCACUAGGACAGAGCCUGACCUCAUUUAUUUCUGUAUUUAAGAGGGCAGGCUUAGUUUAAUGCCAGCAUGGUCACCCUUUCACAUCUCAGGACCCUGCAGGCAACUUGGACUCAUCUGGGACAUUUCCCAAGCCCCUCAGACCUCAUCAGGAAGGAAGAGGGCAAACAGGGGCCACUCCUGCUUCUGCCUGCCCCACGACUGGCUCAUCUCGAAGCACCCCCUCUCUGGGAGUUUUGUAUGUAGCACCCUCCAGGCGGAUGCCCUGGCACAGGGCUUCUCUACAAAUGGCUUCUCCUAGAAAGUGCUCCAGAAAGGGAGAAACACACAGUCCACACCAGCGGGCUGUCAACACUACAAGGUUAUGGGGAGGAUUAAGAUAAUGUAAGCAAAGUGCUUGACACAUAUAGGCACUUAAUAAAUACUAGUUAUCAUUGCAAUAACAAUAAUACUAGUUGGAUGAGCCACUGUGUCUCCAGCCACUUAGUUGACAGGCCACGUAAAGGACUAGAGGCAGAGACUAGCCCCAAAACAGGCCUGGGGUUGGUGGGAGGACCUCUGCCAGCCCUUGGAAACCAGCAGACUUUGGAGCCCAUGCCCUCCUACAUCCUGAUGAUAUCAUGGAAGAACCUACCAGCUACCCCUUCGGCACCAGAGGGAAUCAGGGAAAUGAACUAGCCUGAGGGUUGCCCAUUGCUGUCCUGUUCAAUAUCUUAGUGCUUCCCAAACUUGGGGCAUUCCAUUCCCACAUUCACAAUUUUGACCACUUGUACUUAAUAUUUUUCUCUGAAUGGACUUCACGUUAGACUCUUUUUUAACUUAGCUUCAUCCUAAGCAAUAAAAUCUGCAAAAUCAUGGGUUUGAUGUCCUAGUUAUUUUUUUUUCUGGUAAAAAAAAAAAGAUAACUAUUAAGAUUUAAAAUGUUCCCCCAGAUUCCACCUGAAAUCACCUGGAGGAUGCCUGGAGUGCUGUUCCACACCCUGGGCUCCCCCUGAAGUUCUGACUCCUUAUCCCUACCUCUGCAGACACACUGGCUGGGCCAUCUGGGGCCAAGGUUGGUGAAAACCCAGGCGUCUGGGUCCCCAGCAGCAAGAACAACUCCCAAGGAGACAGAGGCCGGCCCCCUGCAUAACAACUUUGAUGGCUGCGGCCCACCCUCCAACCACCUGACACAUGUCAUGCCAACGGCUCUGAGCCUCACAUCUUCAAAAGUACUUUGAACAAACAUUAAUGACCUCUCAGCAUUUCUCUGAGAGAGGGGGUGAGGGAGAGAGGGGGACAGGCACCAUCCCAUGCUGUCCUCAGCUGGGGGAAGAAACUAGGCAACAGAAUUCCGUGACUUCACCAAAGCCACAGACUUAAGCUGGGGCCCCCUCCCCACCCUCCCUCACUUCCCCCAAUGGCAACUUUAGUGGCCUGCAUUCCUCUCGCUGGGAACACUACUAUUUAAUUAAAAACGACAGACUUUUGUUUUCCUCUCCCUCUUUCCUCCUCCCUCCCAUCCUCCCAGACUGGAUGCCAAGGAGACCCACCAAAAACAUGCGGGUAACAUUUGUUAUGGCUUUGAAGAUAAAAGUCAAUUGAAGUAAGCCCUCGCUGUAUUUCAAGUUUUCCCUCUAGCAUGGAGCAAGCUGCCUGGCAGUUUAGAAAAAAAAGAAAAGAAAAAGAAAAAGGAGGGACUGCAAAUAAAUGUCAUUCUGCAGGAAUACUUUGUAAAAAUAAACAGGCUGAAAAAACCCAAAACUUGAUUAAUGGAAAUCCACUCAGUUGGCCUCUGUCUGGAGCUGUAAAUGCAUUUGUUCAUACGGCUAAAUUAGACCGUUUUCGUUGGCCUUUAAAUAAAUAAGUAGAUCAAAAACUAGAAAGGGCAGGGGAAGAAGGAGAGGUUUGUAGUUCUCUUUUUAAAGGGCCCCAACUGCAGUGCCCCCCGCCCACCAAGAUUUGACCUUUACUAGGGGACAGCAGCUCCAAGUCCGACCCGGCCAACAGAAGACAGAGAAGCCCCCAGCUAAGCAGUGGCGGUGGAGGAGGACAGGGGAGCUUCUCCUAGGCCCAGAGGUUAUUUCAUCCACACACAGGAACUGACUUUAUCCACAGGUCCACCUCCCGACACCAGCACUGCAAGCGAGCUGCCAGGUCCCACCACCCAAAUACAAACACAUCUGAAGUCUCCACUGGCCUCUCCCCAGCCCAUGGAUAAGACCAAAGAACUAACCAGACCUGAGACUCAGUCUAUUCCCCCUCUAAGUUAAAAAAAAAAAAAAAAAUUAAAUGUCACAUCAAAAAGUUGAUUCAUCCUUUGAUCCUAGGCUUGCGCGAGUUCCACGCAGACUGCCUGAAAGCCCCGUGCAGAGUUCCGGAGCUCACAGGACAUCUGUGAACGCCAAGUCCCAGGCCAGGAGCUGGGGCUGGACUCACUCAUUCCCAUCACACUUAGUGCUCCUCCAGGAACUCCAGCCUCAGAGACACACGGGGUGAAGGCUCAGGGCUCUGCCCAGGCUACAGUGGAAUGAGGCCCUCUAUCUCAUAUGCCAAGUAAGGGGUCUUCCAGGUCUCAGUCCCCCUAGAUCUGCUACCCAGAGGGCCGCCUGCUCUACUGGGGUUCCUGUACAGGUGGUACUGAUGAAUGCCACAGACAAUCAGAACAUAUUCAGAUCCUGGGGCCAGCACAGCUCUGCCUUCCACCCAGACACCCCUAAUACCCCCUUCUCUCUAGCCCCUACUCCACCUCCACCUUUGAAUGCUGGUGGCAGAAACAAGGUAGAAGUCAGAGCAGGCCCCCAAAUCCCGCCGGUACAGACACGAUUCCCCAUCAACUGGACCUUCACCACCUCCCCACCUAGGACCUUUCCCCCAGGCAGCCCUCUGCCUCCAGCUGGGCACUUCGAGGUUCUCCAAGGCAUGCGGGCAGAGGGUCGCGUUGGUGGGGCAGGGGGCAGCUGAGAAGAGAUUUUCAGACCCAGAAGCUGUGCAGGAAAGUGCUCAAAGUUGGGGUGCAUGGGUUUGGGGACCCAUCUCUGAGGCUGAAAGGAGGCCAGGAGGUGGGGCAGGGGUGGGGAAUCAUACCCGGGUGCUUCGGCCUAUGGUGCCCGCCAACCGCAGCUGUCGGGGUCCCGAGACACCGCCCGGGCAGCGCUGUCUCCCGAUCCACUCCUCGAUGCCCUUCCGAGCCCAGGCAGCGCUCACGGCGAAGCUGUCACCUGGGACGGGGACGACAUGAAGCCCCUGAGUCUGGCUCCAGGUGCCAAAAGUUACCCCCGCGGAGGGAAGAAGGAGGCGCGGUGGGAGGCGAAGGACCACGGCACGGGGGCCAGGAGGGGGUUCGCGGGCUGGGGCAGGAGCCAAGAGAGGGACGCGGGUAAGUAAAGGGGGGUUCAGCGAAGCCCUAGGAGCGAGGAGCCAGAAGGGGGCAAGAGGGGUGAGCAGUACCCCAGGAGGACGGGUUUAGGAUCAGACCAGGGAGCACUGGCAGCCAGGACUGCGGAGGAGAGGGCUGGGGGUCAGGAGAGGGGCCGCAGUAGGUGCAGGAGCCAGGAUAUCGGAAGAAGGGCCGGGGGGCAGGAAGAGGGGGCAGGGUCUUGCGGGGAGGCGCUUGGGGGUCUGAAGAGAGGGUGCCGUGAGAGCCGAGGGCAGGGACGCGGGAGGGGGAGGGGUUGAGGGUCAGCGGUGGGAGCGCAGGACCGCGGGGAGCGGGUAGGAGGGACAGAGGAGGGGGCGCGAAGGCUGCUCAGGGAGCGGGCUUGGGGGGCCGGUGGCCGGAACUGGGGCUUCGGGGUGGCCCUGGUCAUAAGACCUGGCGGGCUGGGCCGUUCUGCCGCGGCCGCGGUGUCCCCCGCGUCCAUCCCCGAGGUCUGCGCCCCGCGCGCCCCUACCUUCCGGGCUCUCCCUGCGCUUGCACACGGCGGCUGCAGGCACAUCGCGAGGCGGCGGCGGCGGCGGCAGCCGCGGCGGCGGGAGAAGGAAAGAAAGGAAGGGAGAGAGUUAGCGACCGCGGCGGCGACGGCGGCGGGGCCCGGGGCGAGCGCGCGGGCGGGGGCACUGACCCGGCUUGGAGUGAAGUUUCCCCAUGCUGGGGCUGCGGCGGCCGGGAGCGUCCCUAAGCCAUGCGCCCGGC
This 58139-nucleotide long non-coding RNA is filed under the name Homo sapiens (human). RNAcentral describes it as "non-protein coding lnc-SNX20-8:5". Lineage: Eukaryota; Metazoa; Chordata; Mammalia; Primates; Hominidae. The record is from RNAcentral.